Molecule: long non-coding RNA, 85060 nt
Filed under: Vitis vinifera (wine grape)
Lineage: Eukaryota; Viridiplantae; Streptophyta; Magnoliopsida; Vitales; Vitaceae
Description: long non-coding RNA (VVIN_LNC003718)
Source: RNAcentral
UUGACUAUCCAGCUAACAAGCUUUCUUGCUAUGUGUCCGAUGAUGGGGCUUCCCCUCUCACCUUCUACGCUCUCCUUGAAGCAUCCAAGUUUGCUAAGCUUUGGGUUCCUUUCUGUAAGAAGUAUGGUAUUCAAACUAGAGCUCCCUUUAGAUACAUCUCCAGAGAGUUGUUACCAUCCCAUGAUAAUUCAACGGAGUUCCUACAAGAAUACAGAAAGAUAAUGGUAGGCGCAUUAUUCCUAGUAGGAACCAUAAGUGGUCCUUAAUUAUUUUAGUUCAACUUGGUGCAAUUAGUUAUUUAUUUAAUAACAAUGAUUAGAAUGCAGAUGAUCCUGAAUCUAGAAUUUUCUUCUCCAAUCUAUUGACUAUCUUUCUUUUUUUGUCCUUUAUAUAUAUAAAAUCUCCUUUAAAGAAAAAAAUAAAAAUAAAAAUCCACUAGCAAGCAAGUUCAUGUCCAAGUUACGUGUCCAAUUUUCUUUUUCUUCAUCCCUCUGUAGGGCGAAUAUGAAGAGCUUAGACGAAGAAUUGAAGACGCAACCCUGAAGUCAAUAUCAUAUGAGUUUAGUACUGCAGAUUUUGUCGCUUUCUCAAAUAUAAAAAAGGGAAGCCAUCCAACUAUAAUCAAGGUAUGUUUAAAGAUAUAACUAGAUUUGUUUACUCAUUAUUACCGUUAUUAGGUCUAUUUGGAUUGCUUUCUCAUAAGCUAAAAAACAAAUUUUUUAAGUUCAAUAAAAGAUUUUAUGUCUGAUUAAUUUUAUACUUAUGGUUUAAGAAAAAGCUUAAUAUAAAAGUCAUGGAAAUCUUAUUUCUUAUAAAACCUUACACAAAAAGUCAUUUUAUGUUUAAUACAAAUCUUAUGAUAUCAAUAUUACUUUUUAAAAAUUAUAACUUUAGCUUCAACUUUAUUUUAUAGGUAGAGAUUAAAAGAAACAAACAAUCUCAAACGGGUCGGAAUUGGUAUAGAACAAAGGACCACUUAAAGCAUAACAGAUUAGAAUGAUAGUAUAAAACUAUUUGUUUUUGUCUUUUUCUAUAUUAUAAAAAAAAAUAACUUUCUUUAAUUAAUAAAAAAAUAAAAAGAAACAAAUAAUCUCAAAUAGGUUGCAAUCGAUAUAGAACAAAUGACCACUUAAAGCUAACCAUAGGAGAUUAAAAUGAUAGUGUAAAACUAUUUGUUUUUGUCUUUUUCUUUCUAUAUUAUAAAAAAAAAAUAACUUUCUUUAAUUAAUAAAAAAUAGUCAUGCCAUUAAAAAAAAGUUUUAUUUAUUUGUAUUUUGAUUUAUACUCUAUUUCUUUGUUCUUGUACUUUAUUGUAUUUAAAUUAUAUUUCUUUAUAUUUACGUUCAAUGGUAUGGUUAGAUUAAAAGUUCAAUACGAUACUAAAUUCAACAAGCUUGCCAUGAGCUUUAUUUAAGCUAUAACUAUUCGGUUACGACAUGAGAGAGCUAGGGAGUUGUGGUGAAGGAAGUAUUUGACAACAUUUCUAUAACCACGGAUGAGACUUUGUAGGUUAUAUUGGAGAACAAGGAGAGCCGCUCUGAUGGACUGCCACAUCUAGUCUAUGUAUCCAGAGAGAAGGAUCCCAAGCAUCCACACCAUUACAAAGCCGGUGCCAUGAAUGUUCUGGUAAGGAAGCUCCCUUGAAUUAAUAUAAUUACUGAUCUCCCUCUUCUUCUGAUUGUUUCUUGAUAAACAGACCAGAGUCUCUGGAGCUAUGACAAAUGCUCCUUUCAUGCUGAACGUAGACUGUGAUAUGUACGCCAACAAUCCACUGAUUUUUCAUCAUGCAAUGUGUUUGCUCCUCGGUUCCAAGAAUGAACAGGACUGCGGGUUUGUUCAGUCUCCACAAUGCUUCUAUGAUGGACUAAAGGACGACCCAUUUGGAAAUCAGCUAGUAGUUUUGUAUAAGGUAUGCCAAAUUUCAAUAGCAAAGAGUGAUCUCUUCCAUACUAUAGAGCACACGUAGUAGAAGCCUCUUUUAUUUAUUUUUCAUUAAUUGAUAUGUUUGUUGAAUCAGUAUCUGGGAAGUGGGAUAGCAGGGCUUCAAGGACCUACGUACUCUGGAACGGGAUGUUUUCAUAGAAGAAAAGUUAUCUAUGGGUUAUGGCCAGAUGGCAGGAUGGAGAUUAAAGGAAGAAGUGGUAUGCAGUCAAUUUAUUUGUCUUAUGUAUCAUUCUAAUUUUCUUAGGGGGAUCUUAAAAUGUUAUAUGAAACUAAGCAUUACAAUUUUCUACUUCUUGGUAGGAAAAUUAACUGAUGAGAGAAUACAAAAAACAUUCGGAAAUUCAAAGGAAUUCACCACAACAGCUGCAAGGCUCUUAUCCGGGUUGAGCGGGAUUUCGCAUUGUCCAUAUGAUCUUUUGAAUCGGGUUGAGGCAGCACAAGAAGUUGCAACUUGCAGCUACGAGUAUGGAACUAGCUGGGGUACAAAGGUGAGCUGCAAAUAUUUAGAACAACAAGAAUAGCACGUACCUCAAAUAAAAUCUGAAGUUGCAAUGAUUAGCACUUCCCUGUUAUUUGAUUAAUUUAGCUGUAAGUUUACAAGAUUGCUAAAGAUGAUCCCCUCUUGCUUCAUGGCAUAGGCAUUAUAUAGCCUCUCCCUCUGUCACUGCUUCACGCUUUGGUUCUGCUUUAUGGACUUUAAGACGCAUGGUGAUAAAGAGUCAUUGAGCUCAACUUUAGGGGCAGGUUGGUUAGUUAGGUCAACCUACAGGUCCGAGGUGGGUUGUCUUUCUUUUUGGUCCUUGCUUUGGGGUGAGGUGCUUUUGUGCACCUUCAGUAUCCCCCUUCCCCCCUUCCAGCUUUGAGUUUUUCUUUCUUGGAAGAGGUUAGAGCCUUUUCUUUUUGGGUUGUGUGCUAAUGAUGUUUAGGCAGUGCUAGUGCAAUUUUCAAUGGCGGUAUACCCAUUUUGGUUUCCUCCGUUUUGAGGCAGUUUCUUCCACUAAUCUCAUGUUUGAUGGUUGAGAUUUGUCCACGUGCCGCAUCCUUAGCCUUUCCUCAAUUGAGAGUUUUCUCUUUCAAAUCCUACGCUAAUUAUUAUUUCUUCCUUCAAUAGUCGAUAAGUAUUAUAUCUCCCAUUUUCUUUCUUCAUUUAUGGUUUUCUUCUUCUUCUUCUUAUAUUCCUGUUCCACCAUGUUGAAGAAAUAAAAAAGGAUGAAUGCCUCUGGAUCGAUUGAAUAGUUUCAUGCUAAGUUUAAUAUCCUACUGUUAGUGGGACUUUGCUUCAUGGAUGAUGGGGAUGUAAUCCUGGCCAAAGGGAGUCUAGUUGAAGGUGAGAUGUUCUUGCCCAAAAGCAACUUCGAGGCUGGGCUUUGACUUCCACUUCUUCCAUUGUUUAGAAGCUUAGUGUGUCAUCUUCGACUUGUCUCGAACCAACUAUGUAUUAACAUCGUUCGUUUGAUCAUGUCAAUGAUCGUGUUAGAUUACUUAAGGGGUUUGAAUAUUUCAAUGAGGGAUGUUAUGUACAUCUAUACUAUGAAGUAGUCUCACAUUCCUCAUGAAUGGUACUUGUUCGCUUGCUUAGGUGUGACUGGCUUCAUCACCGGGGCACCCUUGACCAAUAAAGACCUGAAUUGUGGUAUUGUUGCCAUUUUGGCUGAAUGAAAGUUUGGACCUUUUGAACCCGAUGACCUUCCUAGGGUUCCAGAACACAUGACAUGUCACAUUAGUUUUUAGUUUUACUUUUCCUCUUUUCUUUCUGAAAGGCGAAUCUUAAUAAUGGACUACACCUAGAGGGGGGUUGAAUAGGGUUGAAUUAUAAAAAAAAAUGUCCCAACAAAGAUUACCUAAUUUUAGAAAUUUUCAAUGUCAAUGAACUUUUCUUUCAACAACUUUUCAAUAAAACAUAAAAUCCAUAAGCAAGUAUGUAUGCACCAACACUCUCCUAAUAAUUUAUAAAUGCAAUUAACAUGCAAAUGCUUCAACACUCCUCAAAAUUAAUUCAAAAGAACAAUUAUCUCCUUAAUUCAUUUCAAUUUACUACAAGAUAUCAUUAACUAAAAUGAACAAAAAAAUUAUUGAAGAUAUUCCAUGGAUAAUCACACUUAUUUCAGCUUAGAUAUCUUCCAUUUAACAUAUAUGCCCAAGUGACCAAUGAUAUCAAAAACUGAAAAUAAAUUAAAGAGUAGAAUGAGAGAAUGAGACAACUGACACCAGAUUUUAACGUAGAAAACCUUCGAAGAGAUAAAAAACCACGAGCCUAUAAUUGAUAAAAAAACAUCCACUAUGAAGAAUAAAAAUUGAAUACAAAGUUUUACUUAACUCAAACCAAUCAAUCCCUUCUCGGAACAUUUAACUAGUACCUUUUACUUUCAGCUUCUCACCUUCUUCUUCAGAAGCACACUUGGAGUCCACACCAAGAUCGAUCUUGACCUCUUCUUGAAUCCACACAAGAAGAAAAUGAGUUUUUACACAAACCCACAAAUAAUGAGAGAUGAAUGCUUAAGGAAUCAACCCAUUUUUCUUUUCAGAAAAUCCAUUUAAAAUUUUUCUUGGAAAACUUGGAUGAGAUUUUCUUAGUAUGCAAACAACCUCAAAAAUGGUAAGGAAUGAAGAGCUCUCUUUCAUGACUGCUAAAAUCUCUCUUAACUAGAAAUGAGAGAAGUUUGUAUUUAAAAAGCAAAAGAAACCCUUAAUCUGAUGGCUGAAAUUUGAUCUUAAAAACAGAUUAGUUGGAUUGAUCUACCCCUACGCCUAGAUCGAUCUAGAAACAGGGGAACUUACUACUUUUAUCAAAAAUUAUUUUUCCCAACUUCCCUAACACUUUUUAAAAUAAUUCAAAGCAAUCAACAUAUUGAAAAAUAGUGUUGAUUCAAAUUCAUUCAACACACGCUUGGUUAUAUACCUCGACCUCUUAUCAAAGUCUUAAUCUUCAAAGGUCAAGUAGUUCAACCAACAUAUUGAAAAAUAAGGUUGAUUAAAUUCAUUCAACACACAUGCGACUACAUACCUCAACCUCUUAGUAAAGUCUUAAUAUUUAAAGGUCAAGUAGUUUGAGAAGAAUUGAAAAACUGAGUUAAGAAACACUUAGGAAUUUUGUCCGGAAUUGCCAACCUAGCUAAACACUCAAACUUUCCUUCUUUGUAGAUUCUCCUUGCCUUUACUUUUUCUUGUAGUGAUAGAGGAUACCAAGGUUCUAGAGAUUAGUGAUUCCUAUUGAGCUGAGAUCACUGGUGAUUCAAAAUCGACAUUGCUUUAAUGACUAGAAGGUUCUGUUGAAGCCAACCCAAUUGUAUGCCAGUUUCAUCUCCUUGGGUUUGAUUUUUCCUACCCCCAACCUUUCUUUCAUCAAUUCGAAGGAGUGACUUCUUUGGAAAAAAAAAUUCUUGCUCCUCACACCUCCUUUAGUAGCUGAUCCUAUAAAGAGGAAGCGUGAGCAACCUUUGUUGAAACAAUCUUCUUCGGAUGGGAAGUCUCAAAACAUUGGGUCAAACACUAGGGGCUUGUUGAGUCACUGAAAAUCUCAAAUGAUAGAGCAGGGCUCGUUCAAGUGUUAGGGUAACCCAUUCUUUUGGGACCUUGAAGAGUAAGACAUUAUUUUCCUCCACUUUGAUUGAUCUCAUUGUAAGUUUUGAAGAUGCAUAAGAUUCUACUAAAUCUAAAGCUCCAAGAAUGAUAGGUGGAGCAAUGGAGAAAGACACUUCAGAUUUCAGGGACAUAAGGAAGGUUGUGGCCAUGUUGUCCUCUAUUGUAGUAUAUGACUCAUAUUGAGUGAGAAACAUAUGUGGAGAGAAAAAAAAAUGGCAAAUGCUAGAGUGGAGUGUAGUGUAUGGUUUGGGGGUAUUUUUGGAAUUUCAAUACCUAAGGGUUAAUAUAAAUACCCUUUUAUGUAACCUUAAUUUUGAUAUAGUGAAAGUCUUCUUCCUUGUUCCUGUGGACGUAGGCAUUCUACCGAACUACAUUAAAAUCAGUGUAUUUUCUUUUGUUUUCUCAAAUCUCUUCAUUAGGAACCCUCCCUAACCUAAGUUGGGGGAAAAGAUUCUGAGUUUGAGAUGCUUUUUGUUGGUGGGGAUUUACUUUCGGUGGUUGAGGUAGCUAAGUGGUCAACUCUUCCUAGUGAUGCCAAAUUUAUUUCGGGUUUUUCUAAUCCUGAGGUGGUAGAUAAAUCAAUUAGGCUGAGCUAUUGGGUGCGAAUUGAAGUUUUUGUUUCCUUUUCCCUAUGUUUUUAUGUUCCAUGUGGGUCAUUGAGUUGGCUUAUAGUUUCUGUUUUAUGUGUUUUCCUCAUCCAUGUAGGCCUUAUAGUUCAACCUGGUUAUUUGUCAACAUCUUAGUUCGUCUCGACUAAACUAGGUCGGGUUGAGGGACCAAGUGAGAGUAUGUCCUCCCAAGUGGAGGUCAUCUCAAAAGAGUUGGUCAUGUUAAAUCCAAGUUGGAGGUUGAGUGGAACAUUAUGACCAAUUUCCAGCAAGAGAUUGUGUCUCUUAGGGUUUGUUUUAGGGACUUGGAGUCUUGAUAGAAGUCACUUUCUAAAGAAAAAGAUGACUUGAGCAAUCUUUUGGAGGAGAUUAGAUGAGCCAAGAUGAUGUGCGAAUUGGACCUAUUCCACUUGCAAGAAAACUGAGACAAAGAGAAAGAAAAAGUUUGUGACGAAGUUUAUAUGCAACUUACUAGUGACUUGUUGGCCCGUGAUAAGCAGAACCAGAAUGAGGGGUACGUUCUUGGUUAGAGUAUUUGAAGCUUGGAAUUGAGUCUUUUGACCCUCUUGAGUUUGAUUUUGGUAGUAAAUCUGACGGGUCUUCCGACCAGUUCCUUAUGAAUGAUCAUUUUCCGGGUACGAAUGGUGGUCUUACAAAAUUGGAUUUAGAGGUGAACUUUUUUUUUUUUUUUUUUGAAAUCUUAUUGACUGUAAGGAUUUUGGUGUUUCAAGGAGCUUGGGUUGGCUGGUGGACAUCAGGAUGAGCCAAGAAAAAGACAAGGUAGUUGCAAGAGCUUAGGUGUUGUUCAUGAGGUAGUUAUUGAGGCUUUUAGAUCGAAGGAAGACGAGGCAACGAAGAAUGCUACUCUUUCUGUUUCCUUAGUCACUAACUCUUCUUAAUUCAAGGGUGAUACCUUAGAGAUUGACAUUAAUACUUCUUCAAAGGAGUCUGGGCUUUUGUUGGAGAAAGAUUCUUUUAGUCUUGAAAUUGCUUUACCACAUUAAUACCUCUUCAAAGGAGUCUGGCUUUUGUUGGAGAAAGAUUCUUUUAGACUUGAAAUUGCUUUACCAUUGGAAACCUGACAAUACUUUGUCCUAGCCCUCUUUCUCCUCUCCGUUUUUGUUUUGGAAAUGUUUGCCCUGUUUUAGACUAUAUGAGAUAUUUCCUUUGUAGUGAACGAUAUGCUAAAAACAAAAUUUUCUUUUGGCAAUUCUAUGUGUUGUUGUGUAAGUUUGGGAAAGAGAUGAUUUUGUGUUGUAGGUAGAAUGCUCUCACUUCUUACCAAGAGGUAGGGUUGAACUAUGGUAUGGUCCUACUAGGGGCAGGUACAAUCAACAUGGGUUGGCAAAUACAGUCGAAGCUCUAUAUAAUGACCAUUCAAGCCUUUUUAAUUUUUUGGCUAUGUUAUGGUGUUGCGGCUUAUAUGCUUGCUUGUAUUUAAGCUUUCCUGGAGGUUGCUUACCCAAAAUUUCCCAUUCUUACAUUGCAUAGUUAAGUUAAAGCGAACCAAAUUUAUUUAAUACAUAAUCAGUUAUGCAUAGUACUUUUUAAGGUGUAUCCGGUUCCAAGGUUUAGGUAUGGGUGUCCCAUCUGGUUGUACUAGCCAACAUGCUUCAGUUCGAUACAUUUUAAUAACCUAAAGCGACCUUCCUAAGUUGGCACAAACUUGCCUUCAUCCGCAUGUCUAUUUGGAUCAUGUAUAGCUCGGAGUACCAGAUCUUCCCUUUUAUAUGGGUUGAUGUUGGACUUUUUGGUUGUAUGCUCUUAACAGUUGUUGGUAUAUGCAACUAUUUGAAUGACCACCUUCUCAUGCCUUUCCUCCAGGAAGGUGGUGGUUUCGACCAGAGUCCUUUGUUUGUCUUUCCCUUCAUAAUAUUAUACAAAAAUGGUUGACAUUCCUAUAUUAAUUGGUACUAACCUCCGCUUCGUAGGAGUUUCCUUAGUUGUCAUGAUGUGAGGUGUGGCCCAGUAUGCCCAUAGGAUUACUGGUAGCUUUUCGACCCAUUUGGCUUUAGAUAUUUCCAAACUUUUUUUGAGUGCUGCGAGUAUUGUUCUAUUACUAAUUUCUACAUGUCCAUUACCUUAGGGGUAAGCCAGAGUUGAUAAAUGAUGAUGGAUACCCAAUUCUUGGCAUAAAUCCUUGAACUCUAAGGAUUUAAACUACAUUCUAUUAUUGAUAGUGAUCUCGAUCUUGUGGACUGCUGAACCGACAAACGAUGUUCUUCUAGAGGAAAGUGUGGAUGUUCUUCUCUCUUAUUUGAGAUAAUGGUUCUGCUUCAAUCCACUUUGUGAAAUAGUUAGUGGCAACUAGGAGGUAGUGUCGUUGAGCUGUUGAUAUAGGUAAUGACCCAAUCAAGUCUAACCCCUAAUGAACAAAGGGCCAAGUUGUACUAGUCGGGUCAUAUUUCUAUGGUGGUAAGUGUCGUAGAAGGGCAUACCUUUGACACCUCUCACAAGCCUAGACAAAUUGCAUCACAUAUUUUUGCACGUAAGGCCAAUAGUAUCCCAGACUAAGGGCUUGGUGCAUCAACAUUCUUUUGCCAUAGUGAUUUCCACAUUGCCCUUGAUGUAUUUCUGCCAAGAAAUACUGGGAUUCGGGAUGUGAUAAACAUUGGAGGUAGGGACCUUGUGUGGAAUGUAAAUAUAACUAUUUAUCAAUAAUUGUAUAUUGCAAGGCUUAAAAUCAAAGUUUAUGUGCAUUUUUUUUUUAGUCCUUUGACAACGUUCCAUUUUUUAAGAUAUUUAUAGGAAUGGUGUCCUCCAGUCUUCUUCAUUGAUAGAGUUACUGCAGUUUACACGCAAUUCGCAUCUGUAUAUGCUUGGUUGCUCUUGAUAUUCCAAGCUGACACUUUGCUGCUUGUCCACCCUAAGAUGUACUGCUAGGUUAGCCAAUAGGUCAACGAUCACAUUUUUCUCCCGCGGAAUUUGUUCAAUAUUGAAUUUGUUGAAUGUUUGUUUGAUUUCAUUGACUUUAGAUAGAUAGGCUCCCAUUCGAUCAUCUUUGGCCUCAUAUUGAGGCAGGACCUGACAUACGAUAAGUUUGGAGUUCCGAGUACACUUGGAUUUUUCGGGCUCCUAAAAGUUGAGAUACUACUAAUCGACGAAGUAAGGCUUCAUAGUUUGAUUCAUUUUUGGAUGCUUCGAAUCCAAGUACAAUGCUUUUGUCUGUACUUCCGAAUGGGGUUUCCAUGUGGAUUCCAAUCCUUGCACCAUGUUGGUUUGAAGCCCCAUCUACAUAGAGAACCUAAACCUCCUAUGGCCUUGGUUUGUCUCUGGUUUAACUCCUUUUGUGAACUCAACCACAAAGUCUACUAACACUUGCUCUUUUAAUUGUAGUAUGUGGUUUAUAGCUCAUGUUGUAUUCGCUUAACUCCAAAAAUCAUUGUAGCAUCUUUCCAGAUGGGUCAAGUUCGCAGAGGACGUUUCUGAUUGGUAAGAAGUUAAUACGAUGAUGGUAUGCACUUGAAAGUAUGAUUGAAGCUUUCAAGUAGCAACCAAUAAGGCCAGGGUUAACUAUUCCAAUUGGGGAUAACUGAGCUUAGUGUUCAACAAUGCUUGAAAGUAUGAUUGAAGCUUUCGAGUAGCAACCAAUAAGGCCAGGAUUAGCUAUUCCAAUUGGGUAUAACUGAGCUUAGUGUUCAACAGUGCUUUGCUUACAUAGCAGAUUGGUGUUUCUUUAUUUUUUUCGUUUUGAAACAAGAUAACACUUACGACCUGCCUAGAGAUUGCUAGGUAGAUGUAUAAUUUCUCAUGAGGUUGGGCCAUUGAGAGGGGAUUGACGGGUGUGAUAGGUGGUUUUUUUAGUAGUUUGAAGGCUUCAAUACAUUUCAUGUCCUGCAGCAAUUUUUUUUUUUUUUUUUUAGAAAAACAAAAAUGGGUUUACACUUGUCAGUUGAUUAGGAUAUGAAACUAGAUAAGGCUACUAUUUUUUCGGCUUCUUGUACCUUAUUCUGUGUAGUUGGGAUCUUCAUGUUGUGUAUGGCACGGAUUUGGUCCAGGUUUCACUUAAUGCCCUGCCCUGUUUCCAAAUGCCCUAAAAAUUUUCCACUGGCAACUUCAAAGAUGCAUUUAAUUGGAUUAAGCCAUAUCUCGUGCUUGAGUAUAGUGGCCAAUACUUCGGCUAGGUGUUGGGGAUGAUCAUUGGCCCUUUUACUUUUUACCAUCAAGUCGUCCAUGUAGACCUCCCUUCCUAUUUGUUACUAGAAUACUCAUGCCAUUUUACGCUGAAAGCCAUUACCUUGUAACAAUAUGUUCCUUGCUCCGUAAUUGAGACAGUUUUUUCCACGUUGUCAAGGUGCAUGGGAUUUUGGUUGUAUCCACUGUAUGCAUCUAAGAAGGUCAAUACCUCGUGCCCAACGACGGAAUCCACUAGCUGAUCGAUACAAGGUAUUGAGUAAUUGUCUUUUGGACAAGCCUUGUUGAGGUUAGUGUAAUCUACACACAUCAUCCAUUUCCCGUUUUUCUUUGGUACGAUCACGACAUUGGCCAGCUAGGUUGGGUAUUUGACUUCUCGUAUGAUGGCAAGUAGCUUUUUUUAACUUUUCUCAUAUGAUUUGAUUUUUAAAUGGUGCAAAACGACUUUGUUUUUGCUAUAUCGGUGGGAAAUGGGGUUCGACAUUGAGCUAGUGAUUAUAGACUUGCGGAUUUACCCUUGGCAUACCCUGUGGUUGCCAAGCAAACACGUGCGCAUAGGCUCGUAAACACUCUUCUAGGCUUUCCUGCAAAGCGUCAUCUAUUACUUUUCAUUGUUGCUUUGCUUUCCUAUCACGAUUUCCCAAGUGGGCUUUGCUACUUUCUAUCGUUUUUGAUCUUCUUUUGGCUUGGUCAGGGAGGAGGAAUUUCUUUAAUUGCUAUUUGUCAGGAGUUACCAAGGGUAGUGGUCUCACAGUUGUAGGUAUUGCAUACAUUAUAGCUAGAUGGUAAUGCCAAGCAGUGAGCUGGUUUCCUAAUACUUCCUGUAUUCCCUUUGGAGUUUGCAUCUUAAUCUUUUGAUGCUAGGUCAAGGUCACCACAUGGGUGGCAUGUAUCCAGGGUCGACCUAGAAUGGCGUUGUACGGGGAAGUGGAGGUUUCAAUUAGGAAGUGGGUUGGGGUUUUUGGUUGAUUUGAUCACCACCUCCAAGGUUAGUUUUCCUGUGCUUGGGUGGUUUUGCCAUUGAACCCAACCAAAAUGGUCUAACUUGGUUCCACUUUUUGAUGCUCUUGGUCCAUUAAUUGGGAGCAACCAUAGAAAAAGAUGUUGGAACUCCUAGUGUCAACUAGAAUCCUUUGGACUUGGUAUGACCUAAUAUGUAGGGUGACUACCAAUGGGCCACUGUGGGGGAGAGACGUGUCUAAGGUUUUGGGCAAUGAAUUCUAUCACUGGUUCCCAUAUCCUGUUGAACUAUUAUACUCGAGCACACUAAUGUGGUAGGUUGAAUAUGGUGUUGUUGCUGGACGACUCUUUGGCCUACAUGCAUAACAAAUCAAUUUUGGGUCUUGUUACUGUAGGUGUCGAUAAUAUGUAUAGAUGGUGCCAGGUUGUCAUCUAUUUUGAGGGAUGGUAGUUCAUCUUGUUCCUUUGCCUCAACCGAGGUUGGUCAUCGUGGAUCAUAUUUCUUUUCGUAUUGUUGUAAUCCUUUGCACCACACUAUAUUCUCAAGAUAUCGAUGUAGGGCCUUACAAUGAUUUGUUUGAUGUCCAUGAAUGUGAUAGUAAUGGAAAUCUUGGAUUUAUCUUGCUAUUCGGAAGGCUAGACGGGUGAUGGAGGCCAUCAGAAGUUCGGGUCACCUUUUAGUUUAGCCAACAAUUCUUGAGGUGAGGUCGUGAAUUCUACUCGGGUAGCGGGGGAUUUUUUUAUUGAAUCUUGUUUGUUUUCUUAGGUCCAACUCCUCAAUUUGAGGUAUGUUUGACUUGUGUGAUCUUCCUUUUGUUAUCUACGACCCCUAACUCUUCUUCCAUGUUGGCGUAUCUGUUUGCUUUCGCUAAGAGUUCCUCCAUGGCAGUCAACCCGCUUUUCGCCAGUGAUUGUAGUAGAGGGCUUCUAGGCUAUAAAGCCUUUCUGAAGGCAACAAUUACCGUCCGCUGGUCAUUGCUUUCCACUUGGACCAUUUUAGUGAUGAACUAGUGGGUGAAUUUUUGCAAUGAUUUCGUUGUUGCUUGCUUCAAGUUGAACAGAUAAUCUACACUUCGUCUCGUUGCAGGCAUCUUAGGUCAUAAACUAGUCACACGAUUGCGUGAAGCUGUUUAUGGAAUGCAGUGGAAGCUAAUGGAACGACGUUAGGGAUGAUCCAUUCAAGCUGGUGGGAAAGACUUGGUAGAGCAGUCCCUCUCGAACAUCCACAAGGGCCAUGAGUUACUGGAAAUGAUAUAUGUGUCACUGGUUCCAUCAUAGAGGUUGAAUUUUGGCGGGACGUAGUGGGCACAGUUCUUCUUGGAACAAAUGUAAUGCAAGAGAGAAUUUAAAUUUAUUUCCCCAGCUUUGAGUGGCCUUGGCGAGUGAAUUAGGUUGCAGUUUGAUUUGUUGUACUUCCGUUGCCAAUUUCUUGUAUUUUCGUUCAAGAUCCUCUGGUUUUUGGGUAGGUUGAACCUUAAGAAUGGCUGUUCAGGUUGUUGAGGCGCCCUGCAUGCAGCUGAUCACACUUCCCUCUAAAACCUAGUCAUUUCUAUGAGGGGCUCCCCCCCACGUGUCCUUCCCAAACUCAAGACCCUUUGGUUGAUCAGGACAAACGUAUAACCCGUUUGGAAUCACUCUAUCUGGACUAAGUUAAGCUCCGUCUAACACUAGAAGUAAGAAAUUUUCCUUCUUUCACAAUGCCAGACAUAAUGGAUAGACCAAACUGAUUGACCUUUUAAACGGACUCACAAUGUUAAAUGGAAUAGACAAACCAAGUUGGUUGGACAUUUCAGACGGACAAAUCAAUCCAGUCAAGUCCUUAGGAUUUUUGACAUGUGUGGUUAACCACGCCUGAUGUCUGAACAUUGACCUAGUCGCUUGAUGUCUGAGCAUCGGACUAGACGCUAUUUACACCCAAAAGUCAAUAUCAAUUAAUUGUUACACACAAUCCUAGACAUUGGCAAACUAAAUGAACAGUUAGCUACACGGUCCGAGAUUUUGGCACAACAGUCAGCAAAUGGCACUAAUCAACAACCCUUACUUGAUGUGAUCGCCUAGUCCACACAGUAGUGACAACGUUGACAGUCUGCGCAAUCAUCAUUACAAGAUAAGGACGAUGUUAUUAACUCUAUAUAAAUCCCUCAAGAAGCACGAAUAAGGUACACACGCUCAUUCUCUCCCAUAAAAUAGUUAAAGUUAUCCUCAUUUGACUUAAGAUUCAAAGGGGUGUGCUUAGACCACCCGUCCAGACAUCUUUCUGUGUAGGAAAGAAGUCCGUCUGACUCCAGUAAAGUUGGACGAACUCCUCAACAAGUAUGAAUAAGGGAAGAAGUCCGCCUAACUCUAAUAAAACUGAACAAACUUGAAUCCAACUGGCUCGACAUCAACAAUUCUAGGUUGAUAGGUACACAUUGUUUAAAUUUCAAUGCAAUUGGCUUAUUAGGCUGUCUUGUCGAAUUAGAAUAUUUUCUAUUUGCUGUUGGUGUUCUUACUGCUGUCAUUCCAGCUUGUGAAGGAUUUGUGAUAGUUGGUUCUGCAUAGCAUCUAACUUGUCUAGGUUGUGCUCGGAUUUCCUUCCUCGUUUGCAAAUUCUCCAUUCAUGGCUUCUUUGCUCAUUCUGAGAUGCUAUUCUCAACAUCUUUUCCACAGACAAGGUCAUUGAAGUUGCAACGAUUAGUAAUAUCCUUUUAUUUAUUUAUUUAUUAUUAUUAUUAUUAUUAUUAUUAUUAUUAUUAUUAUUAUUAAUUUAGCUAUAUAAGUUUAAAAGAUUGCUAAAGAUGGUCCCCUCUUGCUUCAAGGUGUAGGCUUUAUAUGGCCUCUCCCUCUGUCACUCCUUUAGGCUUUUGGUUAUGCUUAUUGACUUUAAGGCGCAUGGGAUGAGAGUAGUUGAGCUCGACUUUUUAGGGAUAGAUCGGUUAGUCAAGUCAACCUGCAAGUCUCAGGUGGGUUGUCUUUCUUUCAGGUCCUUGGUUUGGAGUGAGGUGAUUUUGUGAACCCUCAAAGUCAAAGUCUCCUUUUUCCCUUUAGUUCUAAUUUUUUUUUCAUUAAAUAAGGAUUUACUUUUAUUUUUUAUUUUUGAAAAGAAACUGAACUAAACGUUACAUUAACCUUACUAUAACCCUAAAAUGUCUUGGUAAUUACGUGGCUAUCCAUGUUCAGAUUGGUUGGUUAUAUGGAACCACAACAGAAGACGUCCUCACAGGUAUGAGGAUACAUGCAAGAGGUUGGAAAUCCACAGAUUGCCGGCCUGACCCUCCUGCAUUUCUUGGGUGCGCACCCUCAGGCGGGCCUGCUGCACUUACCCAACAGAAGAGAUGGGCCACUGGCUUCCUUGAGAUCCUGUUCAGCAAGAACAGCCCAUUCAUUGCCUCCUUCACUGCAAAGCUCCAAUUUCGCCAAUGCCUUGCAUACGUGUGGCUUAUUUCAUGGGCUUUACGGUCAAUUCCCGAGCUGUGUUAUCUUGCUUUGCCAGCAUAUUGCAUCAUGGCCGGCUCACAUUUCUUGCCCAAGGUGAGAAACUAAAACCAUUCAGUUCUCCUCUUAAAUGCAUACAUAGCAUUAGUAGUAGUACUUCACCAACCUUUGUUUUAUCAUCAUUGACGCAGGUCCAAGAGCCAGCUGUGUUGAUACCAAUAUCCCUCUUUGUCAGUUACAAUUUUUACAAUCUAUUUGAAUACUAUGGAGCUGGGUUUUCAAUCCGAGCAUGCUGGAACAAUUUGAGGAUGGGGAGAAUAACCGCAGUGACUGCAUGGUUAUUUGGAUUUUUCAGUGUCAUUCUAAAGCUCCUGGGGUUGUCGGAGACCGUCUUUGAAGUUACAAAAAAGGACCAAUCUACUACUCCUGGUGAAGGCAGUGACAAUGAUGCUGGUCGAUUCACCUUUGAUGGGUCUCUGAUUUUUGUUCCGGCCACUACUCUUUUGUUGGUGCACCUGAUGGCACUUUUUACAGCCUUGUUAGGACUAUUUGAUCAUGUCGGGAUCGAAUCAAGAAUAGGGGAGAUAAUAUGUAGUGUGUGGGUGGUGCUAUGCUUCUCGCCGUUUCUUGAAGGCCUGUUUGGGAAAGGAAAAUAUGGGAUACCCACAUCCUCCAUAAGCAAGUCAGUAGCUUUGGCAUUGCUUUUUCUUGCUUGCACUACUACAGUAAGAAAAUGAUUUUAUUGAAAACCGUACUGUUUAUUAAGCAUAAUUGUUAAUCAAGUGUGUUAUGACAAGUAUCAUCCGGUUCAGUGUACGAACAAAUUUGUUGCAAUUAUAAUGGCAGUUUGCUUUUCACCAUUGCCGUAGCAGCAGCAGCUCCAUGAACUGAAAUGAAGAAAUGAUCACAAGCAGUUAAAACUAUCCAAAAGUUUAUACGGUUGAAAAUUGGCGUAAGGUUAAAUAGAAUAAAAAUAUUUGAAAAAGUGAGAUCAACCUUUUACUUUUUCAACCAAAAAAAUAUAUUAAAAUGCAUUUUAUUUGAUAUGAGUUUAAUUAAUAUAUUUUAAAAAAUAUAAUGACUAAAGAACCUUAUUUAACAUUUUCAUAAAUUUAAAAAGUAAGUAAUUUAACAAUAUUGUAUGGGUGGAAAUAAUACAUAUAUACCCUUGUUUAAUUGGACGUAUUUUCUCUUUUGCUUCUCUUUCUUCUUUGAAUUAGAUUAUUUAGUCAUUACUAUCAAAAUAAGAGUAAUUUCUCAUAUUUCAAAAGCCAAAAGGUAAAACAAAUUUCCUUUAUAAGUUUUUGUCAAACUUAGGUGGUAUUUAUUUUUUGGUUAAAUAAAAAAGGUCAAAAUAUUUAGGUUUUUUUAUUCGGUUAAAACUAUAUAUUGUUAAUUUGUUCAUAUUUAGCUGUUGUGAGUUUUUAAAAUUAGAAAUGAUGUGAGUGACAAAAAAAAAUCAUCAACAAGAUAUUUGAAUGCUCAUGAAUAACGGGGUGGGAGGGGAUGGGUGUGGUUCAUGGUGGUAACACCUAAGGUUGCCUCUUAGGACAUUUGAAUGCUUGCCCUUAAUUAUCUCUUUAUUUUUUGCAAUAUUUCAAGUUUUUCUCCAUUCUUAAUGCCCUUAAUUAUCUCUUUAUUUUUGCAAUAUUUCAAGUUUUUCUCCAUUCUUUUCAUCCUAAUUUCAUAUUUUAGUCAUUCCAUAAGUUUUUAUCAACUUUAGAUGCAUACACACCUAAGAAAACCAUUGAUUUUGAAACGGUUUGAGGUUAGCCUUAAAGUAGUCCGAAGUUAAAUAGAAGGUUAUAAGACGUAAAGAAAUAUGUCACAUCCAAUCAAUAAAAAAUAUAACAAAAUUGCCAACUAAAUCUAACAAAUCAACAAGCUCAUGUGGGAAGAAAUUAGUUCCCUCCUAUGAUAAAAAGGUCAAGUGUGUAGUUAAUCCUAUAAGGAUUUUUGAUAUUAUCUUUUAGAAAAGAAAUUUGGCUUUAAAAAUCACCGACAAGGAUUAAGAUCAAGUGGUAUCAGACUUGAUUUUUAACAAUUGAUAAAAAAGCUCAGGUGUGUAGUUAAUCCUAUAUAUAUGUAUGUAUAGAGAGAUAGAAAUCAACCUCCUUGUGCAAUUGCAGUUGCCAUAGUUAUUGUCGUGUAAUGAAUAUUGUUUCAUGUGGUUCAUCUUUGAAACCCUACAAUCACUACCCUGCAAAAUGUGAAAUGAUAUUCUAUUUUGGUAAUGCUUUAUCUAAGCAUGAUAAUAAUUGACUUGGAGUAAAACAUGUAAAAACAUUUUCCUAUUUGAUUUAGGUUGAGGGUUAGUAGACACAUCCAUUGUUCCUCUCUUCACACCUAGCUACUUUAUUGAGAAAAAUAAAAAAGAAAGAGCAAGUGUAGGGAGAGAGAAAAAUAAAUGUAUUUAACAUCAUCCCAAGUCAUUAAUAUAUAUAAUUGAUAAAAAAAAAUUGAAUUACCUUCAAAGAUACCCAAGAAUCCUAAUUUGAUUGCUUCAUUGACAAGUUUUUUGUGCCAAGUUAUGGAUGAAAUAAGAUAUAAAAAUAAUUUAUUGACUUAGGAUAUAUAUAUUUUUUUCUUUCACUUUUUUUUUUCUUCUAUUUUUCCUCUUUAUUUUCUUUUCCUCUCAGUUUUCCUCAAAUUUUUGUGAGAGCCAAACAUGGCAUUAAUAUUUUGAUACCUUAGACCUUGAAUUUUAGGCACUAGUGACUUUCAUGGUAAAAAGGAGACAAAGAAAAUUUAGGCAACAAUACUAACUUAGAAAUAUAUGUGCCCAAAAACAUUUCUUCUUAAGGCCAAUGUUUUAUUUGUGGAGUCUCUUGCCCUUUCUCUAGCUUGAUGAUCAGAGGUUUUGUGGUCGAUGGGGGCAGGAGGUCUCACCUUGAAUUGUGUGAUUGCAAAGACUGAUUAAUUGAGCCAAAUCCAAGGAAAGAGAGAGAGCCAAAAAAAGAAUCAUAGUAUUAAGCCAAAACAUUGAACUAAAAGAAAGUUUUAGAAUGCAAUAACUUCAUAUUUGUGUUACAAACCGGGCUCGGUUUGAUUGUUGAGAAAAUGGGAGGAAAACACAGGAAAGACAGUUUUGAAUCCUAUGUUGUCAAUAUUAACAGGGUUGUAGGCUCCAAUUGGCAGUUUAGACAAUCUAGGAGACAAAAGAAAAGCAUGUUCAAAUCUAUGUGGUACCUGUUUUCUCUAUUUUAUUUUAUUUUUUUAAAAUAGUAACUUUUAUAAAAGAUAUAAUAAUUCUUAAAGGUUUAUGGAAAGCAAUGAUUUUAAAAAGUCUAAAAAAAAUUGAAAUAUAAAAUCUUUUUAUGACCUUAAAUUUAAAAAUUCUUAAAAGUGAUUUUUAACUAUAUAAAUUAAAUACAUAUUUUUUAUACAAAAUAUUAUAGGUGACAAAGUUUGAUACGAUUCAUUAAUACAAUACGAACCCAACAGAUUUUUCAUUGGUUUGGAUCAAAUUUGAAUUGAUUUGUUAAACCCAUUUAAUAAAUAGGUAAUUUUUGGAUUAACUUGCAUAAUAUGAAUUUGUUCCAUUUAAUAAUCUUGCUAUUAAUUUAAUAAUAUUUUAAAACUAUUUAGCUUAUAUUUGAUUUAUUUUAAAUAAAUAGAUCAAUUGAGUCAUAAAUAUAUUUGAUUGAAAUAUUAAUCAUAUAGACAUAUAGAUAACUUAACUCAAUCUAAUUAUUAAAUAGGUUAAAUGGGUUGUUAAACUUGUUACCUAUUUAAUUAUUAGGUAGUAUUUAAGUUUAUGUUUUUAAUAUGAUUAUUAUUUAUAUCGAGUUUGGGUUGAGUUAUAUAUUAAAAUACUUAAGUUUUGACACGAUAUGAACAUGACCCACCAACACAAAUUACCACCCCCUACAAAAUAUUUUACUUUUAUAUAUAAAAGUUUUUAGGACUUUAAAAUAAUAAAAUAUAAAAUUUAUCCAAACUAAUACCAAAAUUUUCAUGCAAGCGAAAAUAAAAUGAUCUAAUCAACCAUUACUAAGACAACUAUUUGGUAGAACAAAAUCAACAAACACAUAGUUAUUUCCAUUCUUGUUUUUAAGCAACUAAAAAGCAAACAAUUUUUAACAUAUUUUUGAAAAAAAAAAAAAAAAACUAAAGCCAAAUAAUCCGUUAAGUUAAAGAAUAGGAAAAAAAGAAAGAAAAUUUAAAAAUUCUGGAAUUGCACUAUAUUUUGCCUCUAGAAGGUAAUUAAAACAAAAGACCAAUGUUAAUAGAUUUGUUUAAAAAAAAAAAUAAAGAAGAAGAAAACACUAAAACCAAAUCUUCCCGUAUGGUUAGAAUAGAGAAAAUGGAAGAAAAUUUAAAAUUUGGAAUUGCAGAGACAACUUCAACAAAUUUAUAAAAUAUAGGAAACACUAAAACGAAAUAUUCCAUUUGGUUAGUGAAUGAAGGAAAAUAAAGAAAAUUUAAAAAUCUGGAUUUAACAGAGGUGAGUUUUUUGGUUCUUUAAUUUAUAUUAUAUUAUUAUUAAGGAAUAUUUGGUUAAAAUGGGCAAAAGAAGCCCUCAUAAUUAACCAUUUUUAUACCAAAUUACCCUCAAACCAUCACCUAUUAAUACAACAACAUUAUUUCAUUCCAAAUUCAAAGCAAUGCCUAUUGUACCUUCUUAAAAUUCAGUUAAAUGUCAAUGGACACAUACAUUAAUACAUCCAGACACUUCUCAUCGAUUUUCAUAACCCUACCAUACAAAAAUGGGAUAUAUAUUUAAAAUGGAUGUCAAAGAAGGGUUAAAGUCAAAUAAUAUUUUUCACAAUAUACAUGCUAUAUAUAGAAAUGCGGUAUAAUUAAUUCUUGACAUCUGGUAGGCAAAGAAUAUUUCAAAAAACUUCAAAACAAAUAUGUAUGAAAUAAAGAGAUCCCAACAUCCCAAGUAAAUAAUUGUUAUAAUGGAUGCAAAUUUUGGACUAUUAGUUAAUAUCAACAAUGGGUUUAAAAAAGUAUCUAAAAAUAUCAAAUUUAAAUAUUUGUACCUGUGGUAUACGAGAUGUUGCUUAGUCAAUUAGUUAUGAAAUAACAUUAACUCUAUGCGUAUUAUCAAUAUCUCUACAUGCGAUUCAUUGAGACAUAAACUUUUCCCUUGUUUUUUUUGAGAAGAUAUGAGAAACAUACUCAAUAUCAUUUGAUUGAAUAGUUGACCUAACUCCUUAUUGGUUGAAAAAACCCUUCACUUUAAUUAAUACUUUUUAGGGAUUCAAUUUGGAAGGAGCAAGGUCGGGCAUAAGUUAAAUGUUAGAAGGAUUAAAAUCAAUGGGUGCUGGAGCUGCUACAAUUGCUUUAGCCACAACUUUUCCCACCCAUGCUGACUUUAUUAAGGUAAUCCAAAAGAGUUUAGAAGUCAUCUCUAAACCAUAAAAAGAUAAAAUCAAUCAAUUGAUAUUGAUUUUGAUAGCUAACUAAAUUUUGGAUUGUUUGAUCAAGUAAGGGAAACAUGAUAGAAUUCAUAACUGUCUUGAUGUUAUGUUUUUUUCUUUUUAAUUUAAUUCAAAUCUUUUUUUUCACUAUAUGUAAUUUAUACCUAGCUUCUUUUUUAAGUUUAAGCUCUCUCAAGGGACAAAAUUAGUUGCAAGAGUUUCUUUCAUUUUUUUUUUCUUCUUUAAUAAUGUCAAAUCCUCCAUUUGAGUUCUUUCAUGUUUUUUUUUUCCUUUUUCAAGAUUGUUACAUGUUCCAUUUUUUUUUAAAAAAUUUCGUUGAGGUUUUUUGUAGUUAUUUUUUAUUGCAAUUUUUUUUUAUUUACAUUUGUUUUUUAGUUGGGUUUUUUUUCGUAGCUUUUUAUUUUUUGCAUUAUUUUUUUUUGUUAGGGUUUGUAGUUGUUUCUGUUGGGGUUUUUCUAGUGUUGUUUUUUAUUAGAGUUUUCUAUAUAUAUAUAUAUUGUGAUUUUUUACAAUUUCAUUUAAACUUCUAAGAUGUUUUUGGCUAGAGGUUUUUAUAGUUGUUUUUUUGCAUUUAUUUUUUGUUGGCGAUUUUGUUUUUGUUUUUUGUUAGGAUUUUGGCAGGAGUUUUUUUGUAGUUUUUUUUAAUUUUUUUUAUGGGGUUUUUCUUGUAGUUGAGUUUUUAUUAGGUUUUGAACAUGAGAUCAAAUAAAUGAAUAUUCUAAUUAAGAUUUAUUGAUAAAAUGAAAAUUAAUGUUAUUUAAGUUCUUUUUAAAUGAAACUUAAUCGUAGUACAAUUUAGGUUAUAAUAAUCAAUUAGUUCUUUGUAGAUGAAAGGGAAACUUAACCUUAAUUAAGUUCUUUCUAAAUGAAACUUAACUAUAGUAUAAUUUAGAUUAUCAUUAUAAUAGAGAACUAACCUUAUUUAGGUUUUUUUGUAGACUUAAUUAUGUUGUAGUUCAAUUGAACACCCUCAAUGAAAAAUUUAUCUUCGUAAGAAAAGCAAACUAAAAAGAUAAAUAUAUUAAAAAAAAUGAUGAAAUGCAUAAAGUAAAAACAAAAAGUGGGAAGGUGAUGUUUUUGGAGCAGUGUAGUUCAGAUGAACACUUUGAACAAAAAUGAAAACAAGUUGUUUAAGAGAUAAAACAAUAGAUAGAGCAUUAUGAGAGGAGAAAGAAUUUUCUCAAAGUGUCAUGAAGGGAAAUAAAAAUAAACAAAUUUAAAACAUAAUAGAUGGCAACAAGUACUAUUGUUGGUUGGAUGAAUUGUAACAGGUAAAGGAACAGUGGCUUGCCCAUCUCUACAACUCCUUGAUCAGAGGCUAUCUCAACUUUGUGGAGCCUCACAAGACUCUUUUAAUCUUCACCCACAUGCUUGCCCAUCAAGCUCGACCUAACAACCUCACCUUCCCUUCUAUCAUAAAGAAAGCUGCCUCUUGCUUACCCUCUUUAGCUUUCAUGAUAGGCACACCCCUUCACACCCAUGUCAUCAAGCGCGGGUUAUGGCAUGAUCUAUUUAUACAGACGUCAUUGGUUGUGUUGUAUGCCCGACUUUGCAAGGUUUCUGAUGCUUGUCCUGUGUUUGAGGAAAUUUCCAGACCAUGUGUUGUGUCUUCCAAUGCAAUGCUUGAUGCCCUAGGCAAGAAUGGGGAUAUGGGGUCCGCUCUUUCUCUUUGAGAGCAUGCCUGAAAGAGAUGUGGUUUCAUGGACUAGUAUCAUUAAUGGUUUUGGGAGGAAUAGGUGCUUUGAGGAGGCAAUUCAGUUUUUUGUGAAGAUGAUGGGGCAUGAGGAUGUGAGAAGUUGUUUAGUAAAACCAAAUGAAGCUACAUUUGUUAGUGUUCUGUCUUCAUGUACUAAUUUAGAUGGGGUUGGAGCUUUGCAUCAGGGAAAACAAAUACAUGGGUAUAUUAUUAGGAAUGAGGUUGAAUUUACUGUGUUUAUGGGUACAGCAUUGAUAGCUCUUUAUGGGAAGACGGGGUGUUUGGAAAAUGUGAUGAAAAUUUUUAAUGGAAUGGUGGUUAAAGGGGUCUGCACUUGGAAUGCAAUGAUUUCUUCGCUGGCUUGUAAUGGCAGAGAGAAGCAGGCCUUGGACUUGUUUGAGAAGAUGAAGAUGAAAGGGCUGUGCCCAGAUGAAGUUACCUUUGUUGCUGUUAUUACUGCUUGUGCUCGUUCCAAAUUUGUGGUGUUAGGUUUGGGAUUUUUCCAGUCAAUGAGGUGCGACUUUGGGGUUGUUCCAAGGAUGAUGCACUAUGGAUGCGUGGUUGAUCUUUUGGGCAGGGCUGGGCUAUUGGAGGAGGCAACUGAGUUUAUCAAAAGCAUGCCUUUUGAGCCUGAUGCCACUGUUCUGGGGGCUCUUUUGGGUGCUUGUAAGGUUCAUGGAGCCAUUGAGUUGGGAAAUGAAGUGGGUAGAAGGCUGUUGGAAUUCCAGCCGCAUCAUUGUGGUCGAUAUGUGACAUUGUCAAAUAUUUAUGCAGGGGGAGAGAUAUGGGGCCAUGCUGCUGAUUGGAGGAAAGCAAUGACAGAGGCUGGAAUUAGUAAAAUUCCAGCCUAUAGUAUGAUUGAUGUGAUGUAAACAUUUAGUGCCAGUCUCUUCCCCAACUUCGGGCAUUUCAGGAAGCAUUAAGUCUCAGUUCUAGAGCAUUAAGACAACAAUUUGGCUUGAGAAAAUUCGGAGAUGGACUAUAAAGAGAUUUUGAUCAAAGAUGCUUCAAUUUCAUGGUUGUGUAGUGUCUGAUUCUUGUUAAGGGGGGAAACGAACUGAAGUGCUAGCAAGAAGGAUGAGCUCAAGAUGACUUAUUAUGUGCUAGUGAAGUUGCAGGCUUUCAUCAACUUUAGUCCACUUGAUGAUUGAUGGCAAUUAGGUGACCCUUAUUACCAUUCCUUUGAUGGCAUUCAGCCUGCUAUUUCAGCUACUUUAGUAGUUAUAAAAAUCUUAAUCAUUUGAUAUUUUGAUAAUCAAGAUCAAUCCACUGUUGUGCACUAGUCAAUUUGAAUUUGAUUAUCCCUUUGCUUGCAUCACAGUAAUUUUCAAAUGGAAAGCAUACAAUCCAACAUUUAGUUAGUUCCAUUGCCCCAAAGAGAUAUUCUAUAAAUUUGAUUUUCAUCACCUGUUAAAGUCUCAACUAUUAAUUUAAUUUAGCUAUUGGGAGCAUCUUCUCAGCAUAGUUAGAGUUUACUAGUUUAGUUGAAAAGAGUGGUAUGAUGAUGAAUUGGUGAUCAAACCCUAAUAUGACAGUUGACUAUCCGGCUAACAAGCUAGUUUGCUAUGUAUCUGAUGACGGCUGUUCGCCUCUCAGCUUCUAGGCUCUCCUUGAAGCAUUAAUGAAUUUUGCUAAGCUUUCGGUUCCUUUCUGAAAGAAGUAUGGUAUUCGCACUAGAGCUAGUGCGCUAUUCUGGUGAGCUUCAAUCAUUCAGUGAUAAUUCAGUGGAGUUUCUACAAGAAUAGAGAAAGAUGAAAGUGAUUGAAAGUCGGAACAAUUUUUUAUCUUUUCUACUUUUGAUUCCAAUUGGUAAAAUGCAGAUGAUUCUGCACUAAGAAUUUUCUUUUCCUUUAAUAUUUUGAGACCUCAGACCUUGAAUUUCAGUCACCAGUGACUUUCACGGGAAAAAACAUUUCUUCUCGGCUUUAAAAGCAUACAAUUAUAAGGUUAAUGUUUGUUUUAUUUGUGGACCCUUUCUCUAGGUUGAUCGUCAGAGGUUCCGUGGCCGAUAGCCGCCGGAGUUCUCACCUUGAAUUAUGUGAUUGCAGAGUCUGAUUCAUCGAGCCAAAUCUAAGGACAUACCAAAACAUUGGACUAAAAGAAAGUUUUAGAAUGUAAGAACUUUAUUUUUUUGUGUUACAAACUGGACUCAUUUGGUUGCUGAGAAAAUGGGAGGAAAACACGUGUGAGAUUGAAUCUUGUUAGAGUUUGUCGACCCAAAAAGCUUGCAAUGUGAAUUAUAAUUAUGAGAUUUUUUGGAGUGUAUUUUUUAGGGUUAUGAUGAUUAUGCUUCUAUUGUAGUUGUUCGCAUCUCUUCCUUCUUGUAUCAAUCUUUUGAUAUGGUGGAUUUCCUUCUCCUUUAUCCAUAGGUUUUCUCGUUUAGAGUUUUUCACGUAAAUUUGUAUGUUCUUAUUCUAUUUUUUUAUUACCUAUUUUUGUUAUUAUGUAACAAAUCCUAUGCUAUAAAUAUUAAGAGUUGUAUGCUCCAAUUUGCAGCUGAGAUAAUGUAGGAAACAAAAGAAAAGCAUGUUCAAAUGUAAGCAUGCAUAUAACUCCUGUUUUUUGUUUUUCAAAAUAAAAAAUAGUAAUUUUUAUAAAAGAUAUAAUAAUUCUUAAAGGCUUAUAAGAAAGCAUAAGCCACGGUUCUUUCCACUUUCUUUUUUUUUUUUUUUUUUUUUUUUUUUUAAAGCAACUCGAAGUCUAGAAACCAAGGUACCUGCAAAACAUUUCCAAGAAAGAGUAAAAAACAAUUUUUAGCAUAACUAUGAAAAAAAAAAAAAAAAACCAAAUAUUCCGUGUGGUUAAUGAAUAGGGGAAAAGGAAGGAAAUUUGAAAAUUUGAUUUAAAAUUCUGGAAUUGCAAAAUAUUUUGCUUUUAAAAGAAAAAACAAAAGAAUAAUAGAUUUGUAAAAAAUAAAAAUAAAAAGAAAACACUAAAACCAAAUCUUCACUAUGGUUAGUGAAUAGAGAAAAAGGAAGAAAAUUUAAGAUUAUGUUUAAUAAUUUUUUGGAAUAUAGUUCUAAAAAAUAGCUUUUGAAAAAUUUUCCCUAUUGAUUUGGAGAAUAAAAAUUUAUUUGAGAAUAUGAAAUUUUAGCCCUUUUUUUAAAUUUUAAUUAUUAAAUGUAUUUUUUAUUUUUAUUUUUAAUUUUGAAGAACAAAAAACUGUUUUAAAUAUGCCAUCAAAUUUGGUGGUUGAUGGCUGAAAAAAAUUUAAAAUAAUAAUAAUAAUAAAUUUCAUCCACACAUAAGCAAUUUGUAAUUAGUCCAAAUGGUAAGUCAUGACAUUGACUAUCAGGUAAUUAUGAUCUUAUUAAGCUAUUAUAUUAUAUGAUCUCUCAACCUUGAAAUGAGACUAAGUUUGUUUUAAAGUAUGUAGUGACUUUGAUCUACGAGUUAUAUUCUAGUUGGUCAUAUAUUCCCUAUGAAUUAAGUUAUUAUUAAUGGUGGUUGGUGACAAUAGGUAUUCUCAAUAUAGGUACCAUGAUAUCUCAUGAGAUUGAAACAAUGUGUCCUAUUAGGUGAUCCUAAGGACAUGCAUUCAAGAAAUCUAUGGUUGUAGUAGUUAUAUGGUUGAAACUUGACAUAUUCUCUUUGUGAGUUAGAGUAUGUCAAUUGAUUAUACAGUCUAAGGACUUGAGACUAAGGAUUGUAAACGUAAUCUUGAAAGGUUGAUAACAUUCAUCUUAUUAGAUUAUAUGCACCAGUUCAUGAGAAGACUAUAGAUAGUAGGUCAUAGACUUGGGCACUUGUAUUAUAUUGUAAUAUACACAAGAUACAAGAGUGUAGUUGACCUUCUAUUGUGGGACGUUGAGUUAACUUCCGAAUUAGAUUUUGAGGGAGCUAGUAUUUGUUUAUGGAUCUCAGUAGUCUCUACUUGAACUUAUAUUUCUUGAUGACAUAAUUUAUGAGGGUUAGUUGAAAUUUUUAUUCACAUGUGUGUAUAAAAGCAUUUUGGUAAAUACACAAUGUUGCACAAUAACUUGUGAAUGGUCUCUUUAGACUGAGCUAAUUGAUUAAUUGAAGCUUAAUAUUAAUUAAUCAAUUAGAACCUAAGUAUGUUAGUUUAAGUGACACAUUAAUAUGUACUUGACUAUAUGAGCAAAAAAAGCUCCAAUAGUCAAGUCACUUAAGUCUUAAUAGAAGUUCAUAUAAACCUUUUUGGGUGGUAGGGCUUCCUUUUUGUUUUCUUAUUCACUCCAAAGAGUUGAGAGCUCUAGACAUAAAUCCUUUGAGAGGAUUCCAUCCCUUAGUGCUUAGAUUCAAGGAGAAAAAAACAUUGUGGUGGAAGAUCUUUAGGUUUGUGAAGUCUACCAUGAUUUCAACACUUCUUCACCUAUUGGAUCUAAUAUGAGAAUAUCUAAAUCUAAGGUAACACACUAAUCUUCUUGAUCCAAAAGUUUUAAAUGUCCACUUACUUUUGUUGCUAGGAUCUAGAGAGCAGGAAGAUUUGCAUGAAACCUAACGGUUUAAGGAUAGGGAAUUAAUGGAGUGAUCUAAGCAUGGCUACAACAACAAAACUCAAAUAGAACACUACAACAAGGAGAACAAGACUGUAAAACUGCCACUGUUGCUGAUGGGAUGAACUGCAAUAAACAGAGGAGUAGAGUGGCUUGGAUGUAGUCAGAUGUAAAACACAAUGAUGGGUGGUCUAAAGCAUGGGACCAGUGGGCAAUGGAGUAGAGGAUGGAACAAUUUUUUCUAUCUUAGAUUCUGAGGAUUGGGGUGGGGAGGAUGGGCUUGGAGGCUUUUAUAGGGAGAGUUUUAAUGAGACUCCUAUAAAAGCUAAAUGUCUAAAACUAAUUUACUUAAAUUAAUUAAUUUAAAUAACACGUUUUCAUCUACUCAUUCCACUCCACUAACAUGUUCUUGAGACUUGGUUCAAGACUCUUAACAUUCUUAAGAUUUGGUUUGAGACUCCAACUGAGGAGAACCUAGUAAAAAACUUACAAAAAGAAUUAAUUUUAACUUCGUAAAAGGAAGUUGGAAUUGGGAAUGUAUGCGGGAAGUUGGAUAGACAACACUUAUUAAGGUUUUCCGAAUUCGACUACCUAAGAUUCUACUGGAUGGACUUGGGCCCCUUGGACAUGCAAAGCUUCUACUUCCUUUUCCACAAGUUCAAGAGGCUUAAAAAGCUGUACUCCUACUUCAGUAUAGGAUUGUUCACGUUAGCUUAUGCACUCCUAUAUAUACACCCACAUGUACUUUUCGAACACUUUUUUCUCCUUAAAAUUAAUUAGAAUAUUUUGUAUAAAAAGUAUAGAUUCACCUUAUCUACUUAAAAUUUUCAAAAAUUUUCAAAAUUUGAGGUAGUAAAUAUUUUUAGAUAUUUCUUUUUUUUUUCGCACGGUUUUUAAAAUCAUUGUUUUUUUUAAUGUAAGUCUCAAAGAACUCUUAUAUUUUAUGUAAAAAUUACUAUUAUUUUUUAUUUUAAAAAUAAAAAACAAGAAGUAUAUCCAAAUGGAUACUAAAUUUAAUAUUGACUUUUAUUAAAUAUGAAGUGAUGAUUUUCACUAUUUUUACUUUCAAAGGAUCUAUUCAGUAGUGAUUGUGUUAAAAAGGUUUUUAGUUUGUAGUGAUUUUAUUAGUAAAACUUGUAUAAAAAAAAAAUACUAUUAGGGAAACUUAAAGUCUAUUUGAGAACUGUUUUUAAAAAUAAAGAAUUGUUUUUCAAACUUGAAAACACAUUUGAUAAUUUUUGACAAAAAAUGGUCUUUUGAAAACAUGUUAUGAAAAAAAGGUGUUUUUUGAAAACAUAUUUUAAUUAUUUUAAGUUGUUUUAACUUAUUUUCUCGAGAUUAUUUUUAAAAAAGAAUUAUACAAAUAUGAAGAAUAAUUUUUUUUAAUAAAAUAUUUGGAAACAUAAAAAACACUAUCAGAAUAUUCUAAGUUUCUAGAUAGACUUUUGUUUAAAAUAACAUCAAAGCCUAGUUUCGAAAACCAUUCUCAAAAAUGGUUUUUGAAAAUUAUUUUUGAAAACAUUCAUCUUUAGUAUCUGAAAAUAAACGAAAAAAAAGUCUUCAAUGGUAUUUGGCAAUUUAUAUAAUAAAAAGUGAUUUUUAGAAGAAACAUCAAUUAAGUCUUCUCUAGAUUUUUAACUGAAAAUAAUCUUUUAAACUUAGUCAAACACUUAUUUUUAGAAAGGAAAUUACGUCUACUUGAUCCAUACGAGUCACUCCCAAACAAACUUCAAGUUAUUUUGCACUUCAAAUAAUACUAUUGAGUCGUUGUGUUACCACAGGACCUUCAAACAUAUAACAUUAUCAGAAAUAUUAUUUUUUCAGUGGUAGAGAGAAAUCUCCCAAACCAUGCAGUGUAUGUUGAAUAAAAUCCAUGUGCAUAAGACAAGACACAAUUAUAUUGUAGUAGUAAUAAUAGUAAUAUUCUUGUGUAGGGGUCAUAUGCGUUCAAUGAAAAAAAUCAAAAGGAAAAUCGCUUGAAGGAAAGAAUAAGUCCUGAAUUUCAUAUAUGCAGCCGACUCAGAGUGCAUGAAAAAUAUAUAACUAUCUAUAUUAAAAACUGGUUUUCAGAUUUCAUAAAGUUGGUUCCGAAAACCAUAUAUUUCCCAAAUGGCCUCAUCAAAACACAAGUUUCCCAAUAAUCUUUUAAACUUAGUCAAACACUAAUUUUUAAAAAGGAAAUUACGUCUACUUGAUCUAUCCGAGUCACUCCCAAACAAACUUUUAAGUUAUUUUGCACUUCAAAUAAUACUAUUGAGUCGUUGUGUUACCACAGGACCUUCAACUAUAUAACAUUAGCAGAAACAUUAUUUUUUCAGUGGUAGAGAGAAAUCUCCCAAACCAUGCAGUGUAUGUUGAAUAAAAUCCAUGUGCAUAAGACAAGACACAAUUAUAUUUUUUCAGUAAUAAUAGUAAUAUUCAUUGAAUAAUAGUAAUAUUCAAUGAAAAAAAUCAAGGAAAACCGAUUGAUGGGGUUGCCUUCCAAGAAGUGGCUAGUUUGAAGGAAAGAAUAAGCCCUGAAUUUCAUAUAUCAUACACAUAGCAGCCCAUGUGACCUUCAAAUAUAUGAAGUUAAUAGUAGUAUUAAUUAUCAUAUUUUGUCGACUGUCCCCAGAAAACUCCAAAUGGCAUGCGGUUAAUACACGUGAUGGGGCACAAAUAAUGAAUACGUGUUGAAUAAAUUCUUGUAAUCAGACAAAACAUUUAUAUUGUAGCAGUAAUAUAUGUGUAGGCGAUACUUGUAUGUCCAAUGAGAAAAAAGUCAAGAAACAAGAGGAGAAACUACUGUUAGGUUUGCUUUGCAAGGAAUGGCCAGCGCAACUAUUAAGUCCAAUAACAUCUCCACAAACUACAUACACCAUCUGUCCAACAAGUAUCCUCCUCCAUUUUCCAAUGGCCAAACCAAUCUCCUCACCUCUCCAUGAAAAAUUUCCCCAGAAAAACACAUUCCAUAGAGCCUUGGACCUCACCAUCUUCUUCCUUCUUCUCUCUCUCCUUGCUUAUCGUCUCCUUUCCCUCAAAAACAAUGGCUUCACUUGGCUCCUCGCCUUCCUCUGUGAGUCAUGGUUCACCUUUAUUUGGAUUCUUAACGUCAGCACCAAAUGGAACCCUGUGUCCUACAAAACAUACCCUGAACGUCUUCUACAAUGUUAUCGGUAUCCAAUAAUGCUCUUAGUAAAACUCUUCAUGUGCUUUGGUGUUUUUUUCUGCCUUCAAAUUUUAUAUAUGACUAUACUUAUGAUCUUCUGAACAGAGUUGAUGAGCUUCCUCCAGUGGACAUGUUUGUGACAACUGCAGACCCCAUGCUGGAACCCCCUAUCAUCACUGUAAACACUGUCCUCUCCUUGCUGGCAGUUGACUAUCCAGCUAACAAGCUUUCUUGCUAUGUGUCCGAUGAUGGGGCUUCCCCUCUCACCUUCUACGCUCUCCUUGAAGCAUCCAAGUUUGCUAAGCUUUGGGUUCCUUUCUGUAAGAAGUAUGGUAUUCAAACUAGAGCUCCCUUUAGAUACUUCUCCAGAGAGUUGUUACCAUCCCAUGAUAAUUCAACGGAGUUCCUACAAGAAUACAGAAAGAUAAUGGUACGCGCACUAUUCUUAGUAGGAACCAUAAGUGGUCCUUAAUUAUUUUAGUUCAACUUAGUGCAAUUAUUUAUUUAUUUAAUAACAAUGAUUAGAAUGCAGAUGAUCCUGAAUCUAGAAUUUUCUUCUCCUUUAAUUUAUUGACUAUCAUUAUUUUUUUUAUUUAUCCUUUUUAUAUAUAAAAUCUCCUUUAAAGAAACAAAAAAAAAAAAAAAAUCCACUAUCAAGCAAGUUCGUGUCCAAUUUUCUUUUUCUUCAUCCCUCUGUAGGACGAAUAUGAAGAGCUUAGACGAAGAAUUGAACACGCAACCCUGAAGUCAAUUUCACAUGAGCUUAGUACUGCAGAUUUUGUCGCUUUCUCAAAUAUAAAAAAGGGAAGCCAUCCAACUAUAAUCAAGGUAUGUUUAAAGAUAUAACUAGCUGAUUUGUUUACUUAUUGUUACCAUUAUUAGGUCUAUUUGGAUUGAUUUCUAAAAAAAAAAAAUUUUAAGUUCAAUAAAAGAUUUUAUUUCUGAUUAAUUUUAUACUUAUGGUUUAAGAAAAAGGUUAAUAUAAAAGUCAUGAAAAUCUUAUUUCUUAUAAAACCUUUAUUUUAGUUUACACAAAAAGUUAUUUUAUGUUUAAUACAAACCUUAUGAUAUCAAUAUUACUUUUUAAAAAUUAUAACUUUAGCUUCAAACUUAUUUUGUAGGUAGAGAUAAAAAGAAACAAACAAUCUCGAAUGGGGAAUGGGUCGCAAUCAAUAUAGAACAAAGGACCAUUUAAAGCUAAUCAUAGGAGAUUAGAAUGAUGGUAUAAAGUAAUUGUUUUUGUCAUUUUCUAUAUUAUAAAAAAUUAAUAAAAAGAUAAAAAGAAACAAACAAUCUCGAACAUAUUGUAAUCGAUAUAGAACAAAGGACCACUUAAAGCUAAUCAUAGGAGAUUAGAAUGAUAGUAUAAAGUUAUUUGUUUUUGUCCUUUUCUAUAUUAUAUAUAAAAAAACUUUCUUUAAUUAAUAAAAAAUAGUCAUGCAAUUUUAAAAAAGUUUUAUUUCUUUGUAUUUUGAUUUAUACUCUAUUUCUUCGUACUUGUACUUUAUUGUAUUUAAAAUAUAUUUCUUUAUAUUUAUGUUCAAUGGUAUGGUUAGAUUAAAAGUUCAAUACGAUACUAAAUUCAACAAGCUUGCCAUGAGCUUUAUUUAAGCUAUAACUAUUCGGUUGCGACAUGAGAGAGCUAGGGAGUUGUGGUGAAGGAAGUAUUUGACAACAUUUCUAUAACCACGGAUGUGACUUUGUAGGUUAUAUUGGAGAACAAGGAGAGCCGCUCUGAUGGACUGCCACAUCUAGUCUAUGUAUCCAGGGAGAAGGAUCCCAAGCAUCCACACCAUUACAAAGCCGGUGCCAUGAAUGUUCUGGUAAGGAAGCUCCCUUGAAUUAAUAUAACUACUGAUCUCCUUCUUUUUCUGAUUGUUUCUUGAUAAACAGACCAGAGUCUCUGGAGCUAUGACAAAUGCUCCUUUCAUGCUGAACGUAGACUGUGAUAUGUACGCCAACAAUCCACAGAUUUUUCAUCAUGCAAUGUGUUUGCUCCUCGGUUCCAAGAAUGAACAGGACUGCGGGUUUGUUCAGUCUCCACAAUGCUUCUAUGAUGGACUAAAGGACGACCCAUUUGGAAAUCAGCUAGUAGUUUUGUAUAAGGUAUGCCAAAUUUCAAUAGCGAAGAGUGAUCUCUUCCAUACUAUAGAGCACACGUAGUAGAAGCCUCUUUUAUUUUAUUUUUUCAUUAAUUGAUAUGUUUGUUGAAUCAGUAUCUGGGAAGUGGGAUAGCAGGGCUUCAAGGACCUACGUACAUUGGAACGGGAUGUUUUCAUAGAAGAAAAGUUAUCUAUGGGUUAUGGCCAGAUGGCAGGAUGGAGAUCAAAGGAAGAAGUGGUAUGCAGUCAAUUUAUUUGUCUUAUGUAUCAUUCUAAUUUUCUUAGGGGGAUCUUAAAAUGUUAUAUGAAACUAAGCAUUACAAUUUUCUACUUCUUGGUAGGAAAAUUAACUGAUGAGAGAAUACAAAAAACAUUCGGAAAUUCAAAGGAAUUCACCAAAACAGCUGCAAGGAUCUUAUCCGGGUUGAGCGGGAUUUCGCAUUGUCCAUAUGAUCUUUUGAAUCGGGUUGAGGCAGCACAAGAAGUUGCAACUUGCAGCUACGAGUAUGGAACUAGCUGGGGUACAAAGGUGAGCUGCAAAUAUUUAGAACAACAAGAAUAGCACGUACCUCAAAUGAAAUCUAAAGUUGCAAUGAUUAGCACUUCCCUGCUACUUGAUUAAUUUAGCUGUAAGUUUACAAGAUUGCUAAAGAUGAUCCCCUCUUGCUUCAUGGCAUAGGCUUUAUAUAGCCUCUCCCUCUGUCACUGCUUCAGGCUUUGGUUCUGCUUUAUGGACUUUAAGACGCAUGGUGAUAAAGAGUCGUUGAGCUCAACUUUUUAGGGGCAGGUUGGUUAGUUAGGUCAACCUACAGGUCCGAGGUGGGUUGUCUUUCUUUUUGGUCCUUGCUUUGGGGUGAGGUGAUUUUGUGCACCUUCAAUAUCCCCCUUCCCCCCUCCCAGCCUUGAGUUUUUCUUUCUUGGAAGAGGUUAGAGCCUUUUCUUUUUGGGUUGUGUGCUAAUGAUGUUUAGGCAGUGCUAGUGCAAUUUUCAAUGGCGGUAUACCCAUUUUGGUUUCCUCCGUUUUGAGGCAGUUUCUUCCACUAAUCUCAUGUUUGAUGGUUGAGAUUUGUCCACGUGCCGCAUCCUUAGCCUUUCCUCAAUUGAGGGUUUUCUCUUUCAAAUCCCACGCUAAUUAUUAUUUCUUCCUUCAAUAGUCGAUAAGUAUUAUAUCUCCCAUUUUCUUUCUUCAUUUAUGGUUUUCUUCUUCUUCUUCUUAUAUAUUUUCCUGUUCCAGCCAUGUUGAAGAAAAAAAAAAGGAUGAAUGCCUCUGGGUCGAUUGAAUAGUUUCAUGCUAAGUUUAAUAUCCAACUGUUAGUGGGACUUUGCUUCAUGGAUGAUGGGGAUGUAAUCCUGGCCAAAGGGAGUCUAGUUGAAGGUGAGAUGUUCUUGCCCAAAAGCUACUUCGAGGCUGGGUUUUGACUUCCACUUCUUCCAUUGUUUAGAAGCUUAGUGUGUCAUCUUCGACUUGCCUCGAACCAACUAUAUAUUAACAUCAUUCGUUCGAUCAUGUCAAUGAUCGUGUUAGAUUACUUAAGGGGUUUGAAUAUUUCAAUGAGGGAUGUUAUGUACGUCUAUACUAUGAAGUAGUCUCACAUUCCUCAUGAAUGGUACUUGUUUGCUUGCUUAGGUGUAACUGGCUUCAUCACCGGGGCACCCUCGACCAAUAAAGACCUGAAUUGUGGUAUUGUUGCCAUUUUGGCUAAAUGAAAGUUUGGACCUUUUGAACCCAAUGACCUUCCUAGGGUUCACAUAACACAUGACAUGUCACAUUAGUUUUUAGUUUUGAGUUUUGCCUUUCCUCUUUUCUUUCUGAGGUGAAUCUUAAUAAUGGACUACACCUAGAGGGGGGUUGAAUAGGUGUUGUUGAACUAUAAAAACAAAAUGUCCCAACAAAGAUUACCUAAUCUUAGAAUUUUUCAAUAUCAAUAAACUUUUCUUCCAACAACUUUUCAAUAAAACAUAAAAUCUACAAAUAAGUAUGUAUGCACCAAUACUCUCCUAAUAAUUUAUGCAAUUAACAUGCAAAUGCUUCAACACUCCUCAAAAUUAAUUCAAAAGAACAAUUACCUUCUUAACUCAUUUCAAUUUACUACAAGAUAUCAUUAACUAAAAUGAACAAAAAAAUUAUUAAAGACAUUUCAUGGAUAAUCACACUUAUUUCAGCUCAGAUAUCUUCCAUUUAACAUAUAUGCCCAAGUAACCAAUGAUAUCAAAAACUGAAAAUAAAUCAAAGAGUGGAAUGAGAGAAAGAGAUAAUUGACACAGAAUUUUAAUGUGGAAAACCUUCGAAGAGAUGAAAAACCACAGGCCUAUAACUGAUAAAAAAACAUCCACUAUAAAGAAUAAAAAUUGAAUACAAGGUUUUACCUAACUCAAACCAACCAAUCCCUUCUCGAAACAUUUAACUAGUAUCUUUUACUUUUAGUUUCUCACAUUCUUCUUUAGAAGCACACUUGGAGUCCACACCAAGCUCGAUCUCAGCCUCUUCUUGAAUUCACAUAAGAAGAAAAUGAGUUUUUACACAAACUCACAAACAAUAAGAGAUGAAUGCUUAAGGAAUCAACCCCUUUUUCUUUUUAGAAAAUCCAUUUAAAAAUUUUCUUGGAAAACUUGGAUGUGACUCAUAAGAAUUUUGUCCAGAAUUGCCAACCUAGCUAAACACUCAUACUUUUCUUCUUUGUAGAUUGUGCCUUGCCUUUACUUUUUCUUGUAGUGAUAGAGGAUACCGAGGUUCUAGAGAUUAGUGAUUCCUAUCGAGCUGAGAUCACUGGUGGUUCAAAAUUGACAUUGUUUUCGUGACUAGAAGGUUUUGUUGAAGCCAACCCAAUUGUAUGCCAAUUUCAUCUCCUUGGGUUUGAUUUCUCUCCAACAUUUCUUUCAUCAAUCCGAACGGGUGACUUCUUUGGAAAAAAAAUUCCUACUUCUCACACCUCCUUUAGUUGUUGAUCGUCUAAAGAGGAAGCAUUAGCAACCUUUGUUGAAACAAUCUUCUUCGGAUGGGAAGUCUCAAAACAUUGGGUCAACCACUAGGGGCCUAUUGGGUCACUGACAAUCCCAAAGGAUAGAGCAAGGCUCAUUCAAGUGUUAGGGUAACCCAUUCUUUUGGGACUUUGAAGAGUAAGACAUCAUUUUCCUCUACUUCGAUCGAUCUCAUUGUAAGUUUUGAAGAUGCAUAAGAUUCGACUAAAUCUAAAGCUCUAAGAAUGAUAGGUGGAGCAAUGGAGAAGGACACUUUAGAUGUCAGGGACAUAAGGAAGGUUUUGGCCAUGUCGUCCUCUAUUGUAGUAUAUGACUCAUAUUGAGUGAAAAACAUAUAUGGAGAAAAAAAAAGAGAAGGGCAAAUGCUGGAGUGGAACGGAGUGUACACUUCAAGGGUAUUUUUAGAAUUUCAAUACCUGAGAGUUAGUAUAAAUACCCUUUUACGUAACCUUAAUUUUGAUACAGUGAAAGUCUUCUUCCCUAUUCUUGUGGACAUAGGCAUUCUUCCAAACCACGUUAAAAUCAGUGUAUUUUAUUUUGUUUUCUCAAAUCUCUUCAUUAGGAACCCUUCAUAACCUAAGUUCUAAAGGGGGAAAAGAUUCUGAUUUCGAGAUGCUUUCUGUUGGUAGGGAUUUACUUUCGGUGGUUGAGGUAGCUAAGUGGUCAACUCUUCCUAGUGAUGCCAAAUUUAUUUCGGGUUUUUCUAAUCGUGAGGUGGUUGAUAAAUCAAUUAGGCUGACCUAUUGGGUGCAAAUUGAAGUUUUCUUUUCCUUUUCCCUAUGUUUUUAUGUUCCGUGUGAGUCAUUGAGUUGGCUUAUAGUUUAUGUUUUAUGUGUUUUCCUCAUCCAUGUAGGCCUUAUAGUUCAACUUGGUUAUUUGUCAGCGUCUUACUUCGUCUCGACUCAACUAGGUCGGGUUGAGGGACCAAGUGAGAGUAUGUCCUCCCAAGUGGAGGUCAUCUCAAAAGAGCUGGUCAUGUUAAAUCCAAGUUGAAGGUUGAGUGGAAUAUUAUGACCAAUUUCCAGCAAAAGAUUGUGCCUCUUAGGGUUUGUUUUAGGGACUUGGAGUCUCACUUGAAGUCACUUUCUAAAGAAAAAAAUGACUUGAGCAAUCUUUUGGAGGAGAUUAGAUGAGCCAGGGUGAUGUGCGAAUUGGACCUAUUCCACUUGCAAGAAAACUGAGACAAAGAGAGAUAAAAAUUUUGUGACAAAGUUUACAUGCAACUUACUAGUGACUUGUUGGCCCAUGAUAAGCAGAACCAAAAUGAGGAGGACGUUUUUGGUUGGAGUAUUUGAAGCUUGGAAUUUAGUAUUUUGACCCUCUUGAGUUUGAUUUUGGUAGUAAAUCUAAUGGGUCUUCCAACCAAUUCCUUAUGGAUGAUCAUUUUCUAGGUACGAAUGGUGGUCUUACUACAUUGGAUUUAGAGGUGAACUUUUUUUUGUUUUUUGAAAUCUUAUUGACUGUAAGGAUUUUGGUGUUUCAAGGAGCUUAGGUUGGUUGGUGGACAUCACAAUGAGCCAAGAAAAAAGCAAGGUAGUUGCAAAGAGCUUGGGUGUUGUUCAUGAGGUAGUUAUUGAGGCUUUUAGAUCGAAGGAAGAUGAGACAAUGAAGAAUGCUACUCUUUCUGUUCCCUUAGUCACUAACUUUUCUCAAAUCAAGGGUGAUACCUUGGAGAUUGACAUUAAUACUUUUUCAAAGGAGUCUGGGUUUUUGUUGGAGAAAGAUUCUUUUAGACUUGAAAUUGCUUUACUGUUGGAAACCUGACAACACUUUGUUCUAGCCCUUUUUUUCCCAUUUGUUUUUGUUUUGGAAAUGUUUGCCCUAUUUCAAACUAUAUGAGAUAUUUCUUUUGUAGUGAACGAUAUGCUAAGAAUGAAAUUUUCUUUUGGCAAUUAUAUGUGUUGUGUAAGUUUGGGAAAUAGAUGAGUUUGUGUUGUAGGUAGAAUGCCCUCACCUUUUACCAAGAGGUAGGGUUGAACUAUGGUAUGGUCCUAUUAGGGGUAGGUACAAUCAACAUGGGUUGGAAAAUACAGUCGAAGCUCUAUAUAAUGACCAUUUAAGCAUUUUUAUUUUUAUUUUUGGCUAAUUUAUGGUGUUGCGGCAUAUAUGCUUGCUUGUAUUUAAGCUUUUUUGGAGGUUGCUUACCCAAUUUUUCCCAUUCUUACAUUGCACAAUUAAGUUAAAGCGAACCAAAUUGAUUUAAUACAUAAUACAAUUAUGCAUAGUACUUUUUAAGGUGUAUCUAGUUCCAAGGUUUAGGUAGGGGUGCCCCAUCUGGUUGUACUAGCCAACAUGUUUCAGUUCAAGACAUUUUGAUAACCUGAAGGCACCUUCCUAAGUUGGCACAAACUUGCCUUCAUCCGCAUGUCUAUUUGGAUUAUGUAUAGCUUAGAGUACCAGAUAUUCCCAUUUAUAUGGGUUGAUGUUGGACUUUUUGGUUGUAUGCUCUUAACAGUUGUUGUUGGUAUAAGCAACUAUUUGAAUGACCACCUUCUCAUGCCUUUCCUCCAAGAAGGGGUGGUUUCGAUUAGAGUCCUUUGGUUGUCUUUCCCUUCAUAAUAUUGUACACAAAGGGUUGACAUUCCUAUAUUAAUUGGUACUAACCUCCACUUCGUAUGAGUUUUCUUAGUUGUCAUGAUGUGAGGUGUGGCCCGGUAUGCCCAUAGGAUUACCGGUAGCUCUUCAACCCAUUUGGCUUUAGAUAUUUCCAAACAUUUUUUGAGUGCUGCAAGUAUUGUUAUGUUACUAAUUUCUACAUGUCCAUUACCUUAGGGUAAGCUAGAGUUGAUAAAUGAUGUUGGAUACCCAAUUCUUGGCAUAAAUCCUUAAACUCUAAGGAUUUAAACUACAUUCUAUUAUUGAUAGUGAUCUCUUGUGGAAUGCUGAACCAACAAAUGAUGUUCUUCCAGAGGAAAGUGUGGAUGUUCUUCUCUCUUAUUUGAGAUAAUGGUUCUGCUUCAAUCCAUUUUAUGAAAUUGUUAGUGGCAACUAGGAGGUAGUGUUGUUGAGCUGUUGAUAUAGGUAAUGACCCAAUCAAGUCUAACCCUUAAUGAACAAAAAGCCAAGUUGUAAUAGUCGGGUAAUAUUUCUAUGGUGGUAGGUGUUGUUGAAGGGCAUACCUUUGACACCUCUCACAAGCCUAGACAAAUUGCAUAGCAUAUUUUUGCACGUAAGGCUAAUAGUAUCCUAGACUAAGGGCUUGGUGCAUCAACAUUCUUUUGCCAUAGUGAUUUCCAUAUUGCCCUUGAUGUAUUUUUGCUAGGAAAUACUAGGAUUCAAGGUGUGAUAAACAUUAGAGGUAGGGACCUUGUGUGGAAUGUAAAUAUAACUAUUUAUCAAUGAUUGUAUAUUGCAAGGCCUAAACUUAGAGUUUAUGUGCAUUUUUUUUUUAUCCUUUGACAACGUUUCAUUUUUAAGAUAUUUUAGGAAUGGUGUCCUCCAGUCUUCUUCAUUGAUAGAGUUACUGCAGUUUACACUCAAUUCGCAUCUGUAUAUGCUUGGUUGCUUUUGAUAUUCCAAGCUAACACUUUGUUGCUUGUCCACCCUAAGAUGUAUUGCUAGGUUAGCCAAUAGGUCAGCGAUCACAUUUUUCUCCCGCGGAAUUUGUUCAAUAUUGAAUUUGUUGAAGGUUUGUUUGAUUUCAUUGACUCUAGACAGAUAGGCUCCCAUUCGAUCAUCUUUGGCCUCAUAUUGAGAUAGGACCUGACAUACCAUAAGUUUGGAGUUCCGAGUAUACUUGAAUUUUUUGGGCUCCUAAAAGUCGAGAUACUUCUAAUCCACGAAGUAAGGCUUCAUAGUUUGAUUCAUUUUUGGAUGCUUCGAAUCCAAGUACAAUGCUUUUGUCUAUACUUACGAAUGGGGUUUCCAUGUGGAUUCCAAUCCUUACACCAUGUUGGUUUGAAGCCCGAUCUACAUAGAGAACGUAAACCUCUUAUGGCCUUGGUUUGUCUCUGGUUUAACUUCUUUUGUGAACUCAACCACAAAGUCUACUAACACUUGCUCUUUUAAUUGUAGUAUGUGGUUUAUAGCUCAUGUUAUACUCACUUGACUCCACAAAUCAUUGUAGCAUCUUUCCAAAUGGGUUAAGUUUGCUGAGGACGUUUCUGAUUGGUAAGAAGUUAAUACGAUGAUGGUAUGCACUUGAAAGCAUGAUUGAAGCUUUUGAGUAGCAACCAAUAAGGCCAGGGUUAACUAUUCCAAUUGGGUAUAACUGAUCUUAGUGUUCAACAAUGCUUGAAAGUAUGAUCGAAGCUUUCGAGUAGCAAUCAAUAAGGCCAGGGUUAACUAUUCCAAUUGGGUAUAACUGAGCUCAGUAUUCAACAAUGCUUUGCUUACAUAGUAGAUUGGUCUUUUUUUACUUUUUUGGUUUUGAAACAAGAUAACACUUACAACCUGCCUUGAGAUUUUUAGGUAGAUGUAUAAUUUCUCAUGAGGUUGGGGUAUUGAGAGGAUUGACGGGUGUGAUAGGUGCUUUUUUAGUAGUUUGAAGGCUUCAGUGCAUUUCAUGUCCUACCGUAAUUUUUUUUUUUUUAGCAAAACAAAAAUGGGUUUACACUUGUCAGUUAAUUAGGAUAUGAAAUGAGAUAAGGCUACUAUUUUUUCGGCUUCUUGUACCUCCUUUUGUGUAGUUGGGAUCUUCAUGUUGUGUAUCGCAUGGAUUUGGUCUAGGUUUGCCUUAAUGCCCUGCCUUGUUUCCAAAUGCCCUAAAUAUUUUCCACUGGUAACUUCAAAGAUGCAUUUAAUUGGAUUAAGCCAUAUCUCAUGCUUGAAUAUAGCGGCCAAUACUUCGGCUAGGUGUUGGGGAUGAUCAUUGGCUCUUUUACUUUUUACCAUCAAGUCGUCCAUGUAGACCUUGACCUCCCUUCCUAUUUGUUACUAGAAUACUCACACCAUUUUACGUUGAAAGGCAUUACCUUGUAACAAUAUGUUCCUUGCUCCAUAAUGAAGACAGUUUUUUCCACGUUGUUAAGGUGCAUGGGAAUUUGGUUGCAUCCAUUGUAUGAAUCUAAGAAGGUCAAUACCUUGUGCCCAACGACGAAAUCCACUAGCUUAUCUAUACAAGGUAGUGAGUAAAUGUCUUUUGGACAAGCCUUGUUGAGGUUAGUGUAAUCUACACACAUCACCCAUUUCUUGUUCUUCUUUGGUACGAUCACAACAUUGCCCAGCUAGGUUGGGUAUUUGACCUCUCGUAUGAAUUUGAUGGCAAGUAGUUUUUUUAACUUUUUUCAUAUGAUUUGAUUUUUAAAUGGUGCAAAACAACUUUGUUUUUGCUAUAUCGGUGGGAAAUGGGGUUCGACAUUGAGUUAGUGACUAUAGACUUGUGGAUUUACCCUUAGCAUAUCCUGUGGUUGCCAAGAAAACACGUGCACAUAGGCUCGUAAACACUCUUCUAGGCUUUCUUGCAAAACAUUAUCUAUUACUUUUCAUUGUUGCUUUGCUUUCAUAUCACGAUUUCCCAAGUGGGCUUUGCUACCUUCUACCGCUUUUGAUCUUCUUUUGGCUUGGCCGGGGAGGAGGAAUUUCUUUAAUUGCUAUUUGUCAGGAGUUACGAAGGGUAGUGGUCUUACAGUUGUAAGUAUUGCAUACAUUAUAGCUAGAUGGAAAUGCCAAGCAGUGAGCUGGUUUCCUAAUACUUUCUGUAUUCCCUUUGGAGUUUGCAUCUUAAUCUUUUGAUGCUAGGUCAAGGUCACUGCAUGGGUGGCAUGUAUCCAAGGUCGACCCAGAAUGGUGUUGUACAAGGAAGUAGAUAUUUCGAUUUGGAAGUGGGUUGGGGUUUUUGGUUGAUUUGAUCACCACCUCCAAGGUUAGUUAUCCUAUGCUUGGGUGGUUUUUCUAUUGAACCCAACCAAAAUGGUCUAACUUGGUUCCACUUUUUGAUGCUCUUGGUCCAUUAAUUGGGAACAACCAUAGAAAAAGAUGUGGAACUCCUAGUGUCAACUAGAAUCCUUUGGACUUGGUAUGACCUAAUCUGUAGGGUGACUACCAAUGGGUCACUGAUUACUACUCAAAAAGUGCUAUUUGAUAGCCUUUAAUUAAUCUUUUUUAACACUUUUGAGUAGUAGUUUAGGCCUUUUAACUCAAUUGGCAUGUUAAGGAUCCUUUAAAGCAAUUUUGAUCACUUUGUGUAAGUUUUGGUGUUUUUGUUAGUAUUUUGAUCACCAAAGCAAGUCAAGAAUGAGGAGAGCUAUGAGGAAUCAUGGGCAAAGCUUAGAAUUCAAUUGCCAAGAGUGAAUCCGGAUUGCAAGGAGAAAAAGCAAAGAGGAUCAGUCAUGGAGCAUAUUCUUGAUGACAGUCGUAGCAGCCACUUUUGGAGCACUUUCUGAAGUCCAAAUGAUGCAAGCUAUAUACCAUUUCAAAGCUCAGGAAGUCAACAAUCCAAUGCUUCAAACGGUGUGCAAUUUGGAGUUGAAACGAAGAAGUUGCAGCCAUUACAAGCCAGUCACUCUAAAGUGUUGCGGAAUCAGCCUUUUGUUGCGAGAAUUUCGCAACACUUUUGUAUAGUAAGGUGUUUCUCCUUCUGACGAUGCACGAACCAUGCCGCGAGAAGGGAGCUGGAAACUUCAAGAUGGAAGCCAACUUUGCAGCCUGGUGAAGAUAGCUCGGUGUUGCGGAAUAAUUUCGCAGCCCUCUUGGGUGUCUGCGAAAUUUCGCAGACACCACUUUUCUCCUGCGAAAUGGCUCCGGAAGCCUCCCGAAGCUUGCUACCGACAUUGGGAGAUAUUUUCCAUUAGAUUUUUGUUGUCUAAAUUCCAAAAUACUCCUUGUAAACCACCAAUUACAUGAUUCCUUAGUUUUUAAGUUAGUAAAAAGACCAAAUAUCUUUGUAACAAUUAGUUUUAUAUUGCUUUGAUAUAAAUACCUCUCGGGAGCCUGUUCUCAAGGAGGAGUUCCUUCUGUAACCAUUUGGUAAGGAAGUAAAAGUUUUUUUUCUUUCUACUACCUUACCUUCUCACUUUGUAUUUUCAUUUUAUUUCUAAGUUAUGAAUUCUCUGAGGAGUUUUCCCCAGAGAAUGAGUAACUAAACCUCCAAUUCCUUGGAGCUAAGGUUGCCGGGGAAGGUUCCAAGUGCAAAAAUGCAAAACUCUGUGGUUUUAGCUAGUAAUGAAGAGGAAGUGAAAUCCUUUAGUGAUUUCAAUGUUUUUAGUUAACUUAAAACACCUUAGAGUCACCUGGGCCAACACUUGGUAAGGCAAGUGAUUUCCAACCAUGGAAAUGCACUAGUUUACCCCUUGCGAGCCUCUGGUAGGUGACUUCAAGGUAGGAUUUUCUGGAAUUACCAACACUUGGUAAGCUUUUGGACUCCUAGGAGACAUCCAUUAGUUAUCUCUUGCGAGUUUGUGAAGGGAAGUCCAAGGUUAAAGAUCACCUUGAAUGGUAAGUGCUCGUGAGAGGCAUGAACCAUUGCAAGUUGUAUCAGUGAGAGAAUUAAAGUGAAAUCUAAUUGAAGGAGUCUCUGUACAUCACCGAUUAGAGAAUUGACUUUAAGUUGAAUCUCUAAUGCGAGGAAAUGAACCAUCUGACCGGAGCUAUGUCUUUUGCAUGAGGAACCACCCCAGUGAACCUAAAUCUCCAAGGAAUGCUUUUUCUUCCUAAAUUAUUCCAAACUUCUGUUAAGUUAGUUAGUUUAAGUCUAAACCUUUACCAAUCAAACUUUGUGUUUUACUUCUUAAGCUAACCGUGAAAUGAAACAAGACCAAUUCACUUGGAAUUGGUAUCCUUGAUUGCUUGCAAAUCAUUCCCAGUGAACGAUCCUUAGAGCCACUAUACUAUAGUAGCUUUGUAUUUGCUACCCUAGUGUAUGGUGUUAUAGGUAUAAAUUUUGUUGAUCACUUCCUCAAUCAAGGAGCACCAGCUGAACACAAAUCAGCUGAGACACCAAUUGGGCAUGAGUCAAAUGGCGCCGCUGCCGGGGAAUGAGUGUCAAGUUCAUUGUGAUACCAUUUUUGAGCACUUGUGAUUUUCAUCACAAGUUGGUAAAGUUUCUUUCACUUUACUAAUUUUCAUUCUCUCUUUGUUUAUUUACAAUCUAAGUUUAUCUUUUUAAAAUUUAGUCUAGUUUAAUUUUGCUAUUGUAGUCCUCUGUUCUUGUUGUCCUCUGUUUUCAUUUUUUAGUUGCAGCUAAAUACUAGUUGUGUAUGCCAAAGUGGAUACAAGACAUUGGAGGUAGGCUUGUUAAGUGUGAUACACCUCAGAAAGGAGAAUUUGAAGUAAUCUUGAAUAUCAUGGAGGCUGCACCUGAAGAUCAGCAUAGUCACCAAGGUCGUCAAGACAAUCUCAAUGAAUUCAGAUCAAUGAGGGACCGUAUGCAUCCACCUCGUAUGAGUGCACCAUCAUGUAUAGUGCCCCCUACAGAGCAGCUAGUGAUCAGACCAUAUCUUGUUCCACUUCUACCAACUUUCCAUGGGAUGGAAAGUGAGAAUCCGUAUGCACACAUCAAGGAAUUUGAAGAUGUUUGUAAUACAUUCCAAGAGGGAGGAGCUUCAAUUGACUUGAUGAGGCUUAAGUUAUUUCCUUUUACUUUAAAGGAUAAGGCCAAAAUUUGGCUUAAUUCUUUAAGGCCAAGGAGUAUCCGCUCUUGGACUGAUUUACAAGCUGAAUUCCUCAAGAAAUUUUUUCCUACUCAUAGAACAAAUGGCUUGAAAAGGCAAAUUUCAAACUUCUCAGCUAAAGAGAAUGAGAAAUUCUAUGAGUGUUGGGAAAGAUACAUGGAAGCUAUAAAUGCUUGUCCUCACCAUGGCUUUGAUACUUGGCUAUUGGUGAGCUAUUUUUAUGAUGGUAUGUCCUCCUCAAUGAAGCAACUCCUUGAGACAAUGUGUGGAGGAGAUUUCAUGAGCAAAAAUCCAGAGGAAGCUAUGGAUUUUUUGAACUAUGUAGCUGAUGUUUCAAGGGGAUGGGAUGAACCAACUAAAGGAGAAGUGGGAAAGAUGAAGUCUCAGUUGAAUGCUUACAAUGCAAAAGCUGGGAUGUAUAAUUUAAAAGAAGAUGAUGACAUGAAAGCAAAGUUGGCAGCUAUGACAAGAAGAUUGGAGGAGCUGGAGCUGAAAAGAAUGCAUGAAGUGCAAGCUGUUGCUGAAGCACCAGUGCAAGUGAAGCUGUGUCCCAAUUGUCAAUCGUUUGAACAUUUGGUGGAGAAGUGCCCUGCAAUUUCAGUUGAAAGGGAAAUGUAUAGAGAUCAAGCAAAUGUUGUUGGACAAUUCAGGCCCAAUAACAAUGCUCCUUAUGGAAAUACCUACAAUUCAAGUUGGAGGAAUCAUCCAAAUUUCUCAUGGAAGGCCAGAGCAACUCAAUACCAACAGCCGGAUCCACCAUCUCAGCAAUCUUCAAGUAUUGAACAAAUAAUAGCUAAUCUCAGCAAGGUAGUGGCAGAUUUAGUGGGAAAGCAAGAAGCCACCAAUGCUCGAGUGGAUCAAAGAAUGGACAGAGUGGAUCAAAGAAUGGACAGAAUGGAGAGUAUGUUGAACAAAAGAAUGGAUGGAAUGCAAAAUGAUAUGAAUCAAAAAUUUGAUAACAUCCAAUAUUCAAUUUCAAGGCUUACAAAUUUGAAUACACUGCAAGAAAAAGGAAGAUUUCCUUCUCAACCUAACCAAAAUCCCAAAGGUGUCCAUGAAGUGGAAAGCCUUGAGGGAGAAUCAUCACAGGUGAAAGAUGUGAAAGCUUUGAUCACUCUAAGGAGUGGUAAAAAAAUUGAGCAGCCAACACCCAAGCCACAUGUUGAGAAAGAAGAAGAGAUAAAGAAAGGGAAGGAAAUGGAAGAUAAAGGCAGUGAGAUCAGUGAAGAAAAGAAGGUCUCUGAUGCAACAAUGAAAGCAAUUCCAGAGAAAGAGCUUCUGAAGGAAGAAAUGCUGAAGAAAUCAACUUUUCCACCUUUUCCUCAAGCAUUACAGGGGAAAAAGGGGGUUAGAAAUGCAGCUGAAAUCCUAGAAGUAUUGAGGCAAGUGAAAGUUAAUAUUCCACUGCUGGAUAUGAUCAAACAAGUUCCAACGUAUGCAAAAUUCCUAAAGGACUUGUGUACUAUCAAGAGAGGGUUGACUGUAAACAAGAAAGCCUUCUUGACUGAGCAAGUAAGUGCAAUCUUACAGUGUAAGUCUCCUUUGAAGUACAAAGACCCUGGAAGUCCUACCAUUUCAGUCAUGAUUGGAGGAAAGGUAGUGGAGAAAGCCUUGCUAGACUUGGGAGCAAGUGUGAAUUUGCUUCCAUACUCUGUCUACAAGCAACUGGGACUUGGAGAGUUGAAGCCAACAUCAAUCACUUUAUCUUUGGCAGAUAGAUCAGUGAAAAUUCCAAGAGGAAUAAUUGAGGAUGUAUUGGUUCAAGUAGAUAAUUUCUACUAUCCUGUAGAUUUUGUUGUUCUUGAUACUGAUCCUACUGUAAAGGAAGCUAAUUUAGUUCCUAUCAUCCUUGGAAGGCCAUUUCUUGCUACUUCAAAUGCAAUCAUCAACUGUAGAAAUGGGCUUAUGCAACUCACUUUUGGUAAUAUGACACUGGAUCUAAAUAUUUUCUACAUGUCUAAAAAGCAAAUCACUCCUGAGGAAGAAGAAGGUCCAGAAGAGCUAUGUAUUAUUGAUACUUUGGUGGAGGAGCACUGCAAUCAGCAUAUGCAAGACAAGUUGAAUGAAAGUUUUGUGGAUAUUGAGGAAGGUUUUUCUGAAUCUCCUAUUGGGCUUGCUACUCUACAAAGUUGGAGAAAGAUAGAAGGAAUUCUACCUUUGUUCAAUGAGGAAGAGGAGGCAGCUGUUGAAAAAGAAAUUCCAAAACUCAAUCUGAAGCCUUUACCUGUGGAGCUGAAAUAUACAUAUCUUGAAGAAAAUAAUCAAUGUCCUGUCGUAAUAUCUUCAUCUCAAACCAAGUCUCAAGUGAAGGAUGCAAGCUUCAAAUGGGAUCCAGGCAAACUAAAUCAGGAAGGGCAAAAAGUUUUGAUGUAUGACACAAGACUCCAUAUCUUUCCUGGGAAGCUCAAGUCAAGGUGGAUUGGUCCAUUUGUUAUUCACCGAGUAUAUUCCAAUGGAGUGGUGGACUUAUUGAAUUCCAAUGGCAAGGACAGCUUUAGAGUCAAUGGAUAUCGUCUUAAGCCGUUCAUGGAGUCAUUCAAAUCAGAAAAGGAGGCAAUCAACCUCCUUGAACCUCAAAAAGCCUAAGUGAAAUGGGUUUGCUGGGCGUGGUUUUACCACAGUCCAAAAUUUUUGUAAAUUUUGUAAAUUUUCAAGUUGUUUCUAUGCUUUUGAUCUUAGUUUUUGAUCUUAAAUUAUGUUUUUAGGUGUGUUUUAAUCGUUUUAUAUGAUCCCAGGUGGAAGAAAUUUCAAGGGGAUUGAAAAAAAAAAAAUCGGGCCGAAAUUGGAGCCGAAACAGAGCAAAAACAGGGGAAAAAACAGAGCUCUGCGAAAUUUCGCAGGGUGAAGGAAACCUCUGCGAAAUGUGAUUUUUGUUGCCAAACCACUCCGCAGCACUGUAGAAGCCUCUGCGAGUGUAUUUCGCAAUUGCGAAAGUGGAUUUGGCACACGAGUGCCACUUCGCAGAACAGUAGCAUCAAUUUGGCAGCUGCGAAACGCGUUGCGAAAUGAAAAAGCGUGAUUUCGCACCAAAAGUCCUAUUCCGCAGAGUAUUUCGCAAUUGCGAAAGUGGUUUUGGCACACGAGUGCCACUUCGCAGCACAGUGACAUCAAUUUCGCAGCUGCGAAACUCACUGCGAAGUUGCUGCGAAAAUGGCAAGUUGCUGCGAAAUUGGCGUUUUGUUGCGGAACUUAAACUGACCCCUGGGCUUCCGUUUUUCCUAUUUAUACCGGUCAAAAAUGCUGCGAAAAGGGUUUCAAAAAUCAGAGAGCCAUUCUCGCAGCCCCUUCAUCUUCUUCGCCAAGCCACGCCGUCCGAACCUCCGGUCGUCUUCUCCGUUUAGCAGCGCCGGCCAAAGAUCGAUAUCUCCAAAAUGGCACGAACGCGAGGAGCAAAAUCUUCAUCUCCUUCGAACCGCAAAAGGAGUCUGCGAAAGGAGCCAAGCCCAGGUUCUGUUCCAGAACCUACUCCAAAGCCUUCGCCGUCGAGACCAAACCCUCCUCCAGUGAAGCCGGCGCCACCAAAGCCACCGGCAAGGCGAUAUUUAACCAGGUCAGGUGGUCAGCCAUUGAAGAAGAAAACCAGGGUUGAGAGCUCUGAACCAAUUGAUUUGACUGAGCAAUCCCCUGAGAAAUCACCAAAUCCUUCACCGGUACAAAUUCCAGUGCCGUCACCGGUUCCCUCGCCAAUUCCCUCACCAGAAGCAACUCCAAUUCCAUCGCCGGUACUAUCUCCGGCACCCCAAGAAAAAGCUCAGGAGCCUCAAGCGCCAAUUCCAGAGCCCCAAAUUGCAGCUGAAGCACCUCUGGAAGAAGUGAUCCGAAGGCCAAUGCUGCCUCAGCCCCCAAUCGAAGGAAACUUGGAUUGUCGAACUCGGGCAUUCCAUUCUGAAUUGUGCUUCGACUUAGCAGCAUUCAGAGUGAGGCCAGAGCUUGCCCAAUCCUUCCAACUGCUGAGGAGAUAUCAUAUGGAGCAUCUGUUAGCUCCAAGGGAUUUUUUCUAUCCUCGGGUAGUCACUGAUUUCUACCAGAGCCACACUCUCAGCCUUCAGAGUCUCAAGCUCCAGAGCCCGAAGCCCCAGCUGAUCCACCUACUGAGGAAGCAGAUCCUUCUGCUUAGCACCAUCACCCCACUCAUCAGACAUUAUAUAUAUUUGCUAUUUAUGUUUUUAUGCAUGCUUGUUUGUUUUUUUUUUUUUAGUUGAAAUGAAAUCCCAGUAUUUUGGUACUAUAUAUGGGAUUCCUUGUGUUACUUGUCUUUAGUAUUGUAAUCAAAUGAACUCAAAGUAAUACAAGUUGACUAUUUCUUGUUAAAAGUUAACAUUAAGUUAUUAUUAUUUCCUUUUCUCACAUAUUCUAUUCUUUUUGAAACAUGUGGUUUUCCCCAAUCAAUAUUCGAAUUUGAUAUCAGCAAGGAGAUACCACUUCCUCCCUUUGAUUACAGUCACUCAAAUCACAUUGAGGACAAUGCUCAGUUCGGUUGGGGGGUAUGAGGAAGGAAGUAUGCUAAAUCUUUUUGGUAUUGCAAUUAUUGGUUAAUUAGUUGUAGUUUUUACUUUUUACUCUUGUUACUCUAUUCUCCAUGAAUUUCGAGGAAAAAUUUUCAAAUUAAACCAAGAGAAAUUGAACUGUUGUUUUUCACUUGACUUAGAGUAUGGAUUAUGCUUACUAAAGUGGUUCAAUUGUUGAAACUUCUACUGAAAUUGAAUUGAGUUCUUCUACUUUAAGCUAUCCACACACUGUGCACAUUAGUUUCCGAUUAUAAGAUGAAAAACUAUUUCCCUCUUGACUUAAAAUAAUUUUGAGACUUGGUAUAUUUGACCUCAUUUGAUAAAAAUUGAAACACCCUGCAAAAGGCCAAUGAGCCUUUGAAAUAAAGAAAUUUGUUUGCUUGCCUUGAAACCCGAGCAAGGUCUGAGGGGUAUAUGGUGAAAAUCUUUAAAGCCUGGUGCCCUAAGCCUUAAUUGGUUGGGAGUCACCGACCUCAAUGCUCGUUACAAGGGUGAAUAGGUAGAGUUAGCAUAUGGUAGAUGCUUGGGUAUUAGAAAUUCAUUCUUAAAAGUCCGGGGAAAAAUCCGAGGAGUUAGUGGUUGAAAGAUCCUUAAAACUUGGUGCCCUAAACCUUAAUUGGUUGGGAGUCAUCGAUGGACCCCCAUUACAUGGACAAGUCAGAAAGAGUACCCCAUAAAGCUACCUUGAAAAAAAAAAAAAAAAAAAAAAAAAAAAAAAAAGAAAGAUGAAAGUGUGUUCUUUUCUUAUUGAUUUUGGUCAGUUUGCUAAAGUGUUGAAAAGAGAUAGGUUGGGGGGUGAGAUUAGCAUAUUAUUCUCGGAACCUAAGGAACCAAUACACAUAGAUUUUUGUGGAAGAUUGAAGUUUAGUUCUUAGAAAGUGAAAUGAUUUUAAAACUUCAGUUUGCAUAAUGCACUCCCUUGAUUGACAGUGUUUAGCAUAAGUGUUAUGACUCUUGUUGAGGUUUGGGUUUGUAUUUCUUUAAUGAUUCAUGUGAGAAAUAGAUCAUCAUGCCACUUGAGAAUUAUUUUCCUUUAGCAUGAUGUUGUAAAUUUUAGUAUAAUUAGCUAUUUAUUUUCAUUUUUCUCUCCUAUAUUGCUAAGGGACUAGCAAUAUGUCGGUUGGGGGGAGUGAUUACUACUCAAAAAGUGCUAUUUGAUAGCCUUUAAUUAAUCUUUUUUAACACUUUUGAGUAGUAGUUUAGGCCUUUUAACUCAAUUGGCAUGUUAAGGAUCCUUUAAAGCAAUUUUGAUCACUUUGUGUAAGUUUUGGUGUUUUUGUUAGUAUUUUGAUCACCAAAGCAAGUCAAGAAUGAGGAGAGCUAUGAGGAAUCAUGGGCAAAGCUUAGAAUUCAAUUGCCAAGAGUGAAUCCGGAUUGCAAGGAGAAAAAGCAAAGAGGAUCAGUCAUGGAGCAUAUUCUUGAUGACAGUCGUAGCAGCCACUUUUGGAGCACUUUCUGAAGUCCAAAUGAUGCAAGCUAUAUACCAUUUCAAAGCUCAGGAAGUCAACAAUCCAAUGCUUCAAACGGUGUGCAAUUUGGAGUUGAAACGAAGAAGUUGCAGCCAUUACAAGCCAGUCACUCUAAAGUGUUGCGGAAUCAGCCUUUUGUUGCGAGAAUUUCGCAACACUUUUGUAUAGUAAGGUGUUUCUCCUUCUGACGAUGCACGAACCAUGCCGCGAGAAGGGAGCUGGAAACUUCAAGAUGGAAGCCAACUUUGCAGCCUGGUGAAGAUAGCUCGGUGUUGCGGAAUAAUUUCGCAGCCCUCUUGGGUGUCUGCGAAAUUUCGCAGACACCACUUUUCUCCUGCGAAAUGGCUCCGGAAGCCUCCCGAAGCUUGCUACCGACAUUGGGAGAUAUUUUCCAUUAGAUUUUUGUUGUCUAAAUUCCAAAAUACUCCUUGUAAACCACCAAUUACAUGAUUCCUUAGUUUUUAAGUUAGUAAAAAGACCAAAUAUCUUUGUAACAAUUAGUUUUAUAUUGCUUUGAUAUAAAUACCUCUCGGGAGCCUGUUCUCAAGGAGGAGUUCCUUCUGUAACCAUUUGGUAAGGAAGUAAAAGUUUUUUUUCUUUCUACUACCUUACCUUCUCACUUUGUAUUUUCAUUUUAUUUCUAAGUUAUGAAUUCUCUGAGGAGUUUUCCCCAGAGAAUGAGUAACUAAACCUCCAAUUCCUUGGAGCUAAGGUUGCCGGGGAAGGUUCCAAGUGCAAAAAUGCAAAACUCUGUGGUUUUAGCUAGUAAUGAAGAGGAAGUGAAAUCCUUUAGUGAUUUCAAUGUUUUUAGUUAACUUAAAACACCUUAGAGUCACCUGGGCCAACACUUGGUAAGGCAAGUGAUUUCCAACCAUGGAAAUGCACUAGUUUACCCCUUGCGAGCCUCUGGUAGGUGACUUCAAGGUAGGAUUUUCUGGAAUUACCAACACUUGGUAAGCUUUUGGACUCCUAGGAGACAUCCAUUAGUUAUCUCUUGCGAGUUUGUGAAGGGAAGUCCAAGGUUAAAGAUCACCUUGAAUGGUAAGUGCUCGUGAGAGGCAUGAACCAUUGCAAGUUGUAUCAGUGAGAGAAUUAAAGUGAAAUCUAAUUGAAGGAGUCUCUGUACAUCACCGAUUAGAGAAUUGACUUUAAGUUGAAUCUCUAAUGCGAGGAAAUGAACCAUCUGACCGGAGCUAUGUCUUUUGCAUGAGGAACCACCCCAGUGAACCUAAAUCUCCAAGGAAUGCUUUUUCUUCCUAAAUUAUUCCAAACUUCUGUUAAGUUAGUUAGUUUAAGUCUAAACCUUUACCAAUCAAACUUUGUGUUUUACUUCUUAAGCUAACCGUGAAAUGAAACAAGACCAAUUCACUUGGAAUUGGUAUCCUUGAUUGCUUGCAAAUCAUUCCCAGUGAACGAUCCUUAGAGCCACUAUACUAUAGUAGCUUUGUAUUUGCUACCCUAGUGUAUGGUGUUAUAGGUAUAAAUUUUGUUGAUCACUUCCUCAAUCAAGGAGCACCAGCUGAACACAAAUCAGCUGAGACACCAAUUGGGCAUGAGUCAGUCACUGUGGGGGAGAGACACAUGUCUAAGGUUUUGUGCAAUGAAUUCUAUCAUUGGAUCCCAUAUCCUGUUGAACUCUAUAAUACUCGAGCACAUUAAUGUGGUAGGUUGAAUAUGGUGUUGUUGUUGGACGACUCUUUGGCCAACAUGCAUAACAAAUCGAUUUUGGGUCUUGUUAUUGUAGGUGUCGAUAAUAUGUAUAGCUAGUCCCAGGUUGUCAUCUAUUUUGAGGGAUGGUAGUUCAUCUUGUUCCUUUGCCUCAACCGAGGUUGGUCGUCGUGGUGCAUAUUUCUUUACGUAUUGUUGUAAUCCUUUACACCACACUACAUUCUCGAGAUAUCAAUGUAGGGCCUUACAAUGAUUUGUUUGAUGUCCAUGAAUGUGAUAAUAAUGGAAAUACUUGGAUCUAUCUUGCUAUUCAGAAGGCUAGAUGGGCGUUGGAGGCCAUCAGAAGUUCGGGUCAUCUUUUAGUUUAGCCAACAAUUCUUGAGGUGAGGUCGUGAAUUCUACUCAGGUCACGGAUGAGGUGAACUUAACGGGAGGAUUUUUAUUGAACCUUUUUUUUUUCUUAGGUCCAACUCCUCAAUCUAAAGUAUGUUUGACUAGUGUGAUCUUCCUUUUUUUAUCUACGACCCUUAGCUCUUCUUCCUUGUUGGCGUAGUGGUUUGCUUUCACUAAGAGUUCCUCCAUGGUAGUCAACCCACUUUUCGCUAGUGACUACAGUAGAGGGCUUCUAGGCUAUAAAGUCUUUCUGAAAGCAACAAUUACCGCCCGCUAGUCAUUGCUUUCCACUUGGACCAUUUCAGUGAUGAACUAAUGGGUGAAUUUUUGCAAUGAUUUCGCUGUUGCUUGCUUCAGGUUGAAUAGAUAAUCUACACUUCCUUUCGUUGUAGGCAUAUUAGGUCAUAAACUGGUCACACGAUUGCGUGAAGCUGUUUAUGGAAUGCAGUGGAAGCUAAUGGAACCACGUUAGGGAUGACCCAUGCAAGCUGGUCGGAAAGACUCGUUAGAGUAGUCCCUCUCGAACAUCCACAAGGGCCAUUAGUUACUGGAAAUGAUAUAUGUGUCACUGGUUCCAUCAUAGAGGUUGAAUUUUGGUGGGACGUAGUGGGUACAAUUCUUCUUGGAACAAAUGUAAUGCAAGGAUUUAAGUUUAUUUCUUUAGCUUCGAGUGGCCUUGACAGGUGAAUUAGCUUGCAAUUUGAUUUUUUGUACUUCUGUUGCCAACUUCUUGUAUUUUCGUUCAAGAUCCUCUGGUUUUUGGAUAGGUCAAACCUUAAGAAUGGUUGUCUAGGUUGUCAAGGUGCCCUACGUGCGGCUGAUCACACUUCUCUCUAAAACCUGGUCAUUCUUGUGGGGGGUUCCCCUCCACGUGUCCUUUCCAGACUCAAGACCCUUUGGUCGACCAGGGCAAACGUGUAACCUGUCUGGACCAAGUUAAGCUCCGUCUAGCAUUAGAAGUAAGAAGUUUUCCUUCUUCCAUAAUGCCAAACAGAAUGGACAAACCAAACUGGUUGACCUUUCAAACAAGUUCGCAAUGCCGGAUGAAAUGGAUAGACCAAGUUGGUUGGACUUUUCAGACGGGUAAAUCAAUCUAGUCAAGUUCUUAGGAUUUUUGACAUGUGUGGUUAACCAUGCUUGAUAUCUGAGCACCGACCUAGCCGGUUGAUGUCUGAGCGUUGGACUAGACGCCAUUUACACCCAAAAGUCAAUGUCAAUUAAUUGUAACACAUAAUCCCAAACAUUGGCAAGCUAAAUGAACAGUUAGCUACACGGUCCAAGAUUUUGGUACAACAGUCAGCAAAUGGCACCAAUCAAAAGCCCUUACUUGAUGUUAUUGCCCAGUCCACGCAGUAAUGACGACGUUGACAGUCCACACAAUUAUCAUUACAAGAUAAGGGCGAUGGCAUCAACUCUAUAUAAAUCCCUCAAGAAGCAUGAAUAAAGUACACACACUCAUUCUCUCCCACAAAAAUAGUUAGAGCUAUCCCCAUCUAACUUAAGCUUCGGAGGGGUGUGCUUGGACCAUUAGUUCAGACAUCCUUCUGUGUAGGGAAAAAGUCCGUCUGACUCCAGUAAAGUUGGACGAACUCUUCAACAAGUACGAACAAGGGAAGAAGUUCACCUAACUCUAGUGAAGUUGGACAAACUUGAAUCCAGUUGGCUCGACACCAACAAUUCUAGGUUGAUAGGUACACAUUGUUUAAAUUUCAACGCAAUUGGCAUAUUAGGCCGUCUUGUCGAAUUAGAAUAUUUUCUAUUUGCUGUUGGUGUUCUUACUGUUGUCAUUCCAGCUCGUGAAGGAUUUGUGAUAGUUGGUUCUGCAUAACAUCUAACUUGUCUAGGUUGUGCUUGGAUUUCCUUCCUCAUUUGCAAAUUCUCCAUUCAUGGCUUCUUUGCUCAUGCUGAGAUGCUAUUCUCAACAUCUUUUCCACAAACAAGGUCAUUGAAGUUGCAAUGAUUAGCACUAUCCUUUUUAUUAUUAUUAUUAUUAGUAUUAAUUUAGCUAUAUAAGUUUAAAAGAUUGCUAAAUAUGGUUCCUUCUUGCUUCAUGGUGUAGGCUUUAUAUGGCCUCUCCCUUUGUCAAUGCUUUAGGCUUUUGGUUAUGCUUUAUUGACUUUAAGGUGCAUGGGACAAGAGUGAUUGAGCUCGACUUUUUAGGGGUAGAUCGAUUAGUUAAGUCGACCUGCAAGUCUUAGGUGGGUUGUCUUUCUUUCAGGUCCUUGGUUUGGAGUGAGGUGAUUUUGUGAAGGGAAACUUGUGUUUAGGGCUGGUAAUAUCACAAUAUUAUGAGAUUGAAAACCCAACUUUUCAUUUUUUAAUAUGAGAUCGAAAACUAUUUUUUAAUACCCAAUAUGCCCUCCUCUUUCUGCCAGGUCAACCUCCACGUGGAAAAAAAAAAAAAAAACAAAAACUAAAAAUAAAAAGAACAACUUAAUAGCAACCGAACCUUCUUCCAUCUGAGUGUGCUCUAGUAUUACCUCCACCAUAACUCAUCCCAAACUUCUUCACGUCCAUCCGCGGACUCCCCACUGUUGGGUCAACUGCUCCUCUCCCACCACGUGUCGCUAGAUCUUCCGCCCACCUCACCAUCCUCUCAAUGUGCCACGUCAUGCUCUGGUGCUGCAACCUUGUCGGUGUCACUAUCAAUGACGUCGUUUCAUUGCAGUCACCGUGGCGAUGGCUGAGGAACCUUGACUCUAUGUAUCGCAUUAGCGUCUCCCCCGAGUCGAGGUUCCCUCGAUAGCCGCUAAUGAUGAGCCGCAACCGUGACUGCGAUGAAACGACGUCGUUGAUAGUGAUGCCGACAAGGUUGCAGCACCGGAGCAUGACGUGGCACAUUGAGAGGAUGUUGAGGUGGACGGAAGAUUUGGCGGCACGUGGUGGGAGAUGAGCAGUUGACCUGACAGUGGGGAGUCCACGGAUGGAAGUGAAGAAGUUUGGGAGGAGUUAUGGUGGAGGUGAUGUUGGAGCACGCUUAGAUGGAAGAAGGUCCGACAGCUAUUAAGUUGUUCUUUUUAUUUUUGGUUUUUUUUUUCCACAUGGAAGUUGACCUAGCAGAAAGAGGAGGACAUAUUGGGUAUUAAAAAAUAGCUCAACCAAAGUGCAUGAAGCCUAUAUUAUUUUUGGGAUUAGAAUAGUUAUAUUAAAAAAAUGAAAAGUUGGGUUUUCAAUCUCAUAAUAUUGUGAUAUUAUCAGCACCAAACACAAGUUUCCGUUUUGUGAACCCUCAAAGUCAAAGUCUCCUUUUUCCCUUUAGUUCUAAAUUUUUUCAUUAAAUAAGGAUUUACUUAUUUUUUUAUUUUUGAAAAGAAACUGAACUAAACGUUACAGUAACCUUACUAUAACCCUAAAAUGUCUUGGUAAUUACGUGGCUAUCCAUGUUCAGAUUGGUUGUUUAUAUGGAAGCACAACAGAAGACGUCCUCACAGGUAUGAGGAUACAGGCAAGAGGUUGGAAAUCCACAGAUUGCCGGCCUGACCCUCCUGCAUUUCUUGGGUGCGCACCCUCAGGAGGGCCUGCUGCACUUACCCAACAGAAGAGAUGGGCCACUGGCCUCCUUGAGAUCCUGUUCAGCAAGAACAGCCCAUUCAUUGCCGCCUUCACUGCAAAGCUCCAAUUUCGCCAAUGCCUUGCAUACCUGUGGUUUAUUUCAUGGGCUUUACGGUCAAUUCCCGAGCUUUGUUAUCUUGCUUUGCCAGCAUAUUGCAUCAUGGCCGGCUCACAUUUCUUGCCCAAGGUGAGCAAAACUAAAACCAUUCAGUUUUCCUCUUAAAUGCAUACAUAGCAUUAGUAGUAGUACUUCACCAACCUUUGUUUUAUCAUCAUUGACGCAGGUCCAAGAGCCAGCUGUGUUGAUACCAAUAUCCCUCUUUGUCAGUUACAAUUUUUACACUCUAUUUGAAUACUAUGGAGCUGGGUUUUCAAUCCGAGCAUGCUGGAACAAUUUGAGGAUGGGGAGAAUAACCGCAGUGACUGCAUGGUUAUUUGGAUUUUUCAGUGUCAUUCUAAAGCUCCUGGGGUUAUCGGAGACCGUCUUUGAAGUUACAAAAAAGGACCAAUCUACUACUCCUGGUGAAGGCAGUGACAAGGAUGCUGGUCGAUUCACCUUUGAUGGGUCUCUGAUUUUUGUUCCGGCCACUACUCUUUUGUUGGUGCACCUGAUGGCACUUGUUACAGCCUUGUUAGGACUAUUUGAUCAUGUCGGGAUCGAAUCAAGAAUAGGGGAGAUAAUAUGUAGCGUGUGGGUGGUGCUAUGCUUCUCGCCGUUUCUUAAAGGCCUGUUUGGGAAAGGAAAAUAUGGGAUACCCACAUCCUCCAUAAGCAAGUCAGUAGCUUUGGCAUUGCUUUUUCUUGCUUGCACUACUACAGUAAGAAAAUGAUUUUAUUGAAAACCGUACUGUUUAUUAAGCAUAAUUGUUAAUCAAGUGUGUUAUGACAAGUAUCAUCCGGUUCAGUGUACGAACAAAUUUGUUGCAAUUAUAAAGGCAGUUUGCUUUUCACCAUUGCCGUAGCAGCAGCAGCUCCAUGAACUGAAAUGAAGAAAUGAUCACAAGCAGUUAAAACUAUCCAAAAGUUUAUACAGUUGAAAAUUGGCGUAAGGUUAAAUAGAAUAAAAAUAUUUGAAAAAGUGAGAUCAACCUUUUACUUUUUCAACCAAAAAAAUAUAUUAAAAUGCAUUUUAUUUGAUAUGAGUUUAAUUAAUAUAUUUUAAAAAAUAUAAUGACUAAAGAACCUUAUUUAACAUUUUCAUAAAUUUAAAAAGUAAGUAAUUUAACAAUAUUGUAUGGGUGGAAAUAAUACAUAUAUACCCUUGUUUAAUUGAACGUAUUUUCUCUUUUGCUUCUCUUUCUUCUUUGAAUUAGAUUAUUUAGUCAUUACUAUCAAAAUAAGAGUAAUUUCUCUUAUUUCAAAAGCCAAAAGGUAAAACAAAUUUCCUUUAUAAGUUUUUGUCAAACUUAGGUGGUAUUUAUUUUUUGGUUAAAUAAAAAAGGUCAAAAUAUUUAGGUUUUUUUAUUCGGUUAAAACUAUAUAUUGUUAAUUUGUUCAUAUUUAGCUGUUGUAAGUUUUUAAAAUUAGAAAUGAUGUGAGUGACAAAAAAAAAAUCAUCAACAAGAUAUUUGAAUGCUCAUGAAUAACGGGGUGGGAGGGGAUGGGUGUGGUUCAUGGUGGUGGUGCUUGUGGGCCUAAGGUUGCCUCUUAGGACAUUUAAAUGCCCUCUUGGGUAUUUGAAUGCUUGCCCUUAAUUAUCUCUUUAUUUUUGCAAUAUUUUGAGUUUUUCUCCAUUCUUAAUGCCCUUAAUUAUCUCUUUAUUUUUGCAAUAUUUCGAGUUUUUCUCCUUUCUUUUCAUCCUAAUUUCAUAUUUUAGUUAUUCUAUAAGUUUUAUCAACUUUAGAUGCAUACACACUUAAAAAGACAAUGAUUUUGAAAUGGUUUGAGGUUAGCUUUAAAGUAGUCCGAAGUUAAAUAGAAGGUUAUAAGAUGUAAAGAAAUAUGUCACAUCCAAUCAAUAAAAAAUAUAGCAAAAUUGCCAACUAAACCUUACAUAUCAACAAGCUAAUACGAAAAGAAAUUAGUUCCCUCCUAUGAUAAAAAACUUAGGAGUGUAAUUAAUCCUAUAAGGAUUUUUGAUAUUAUCUUUUAGAAAAGAAAAUUGGUUUUAAAAAUCACCGACAGGGAUUAAGAUCAAGUGGUAUUAGACUCGGUUUUUACCAAAUGAUAAAAAGCUCAAGUGUGUAGUUAAUCCAAUAUGUAUGUAUGUAUGUAUGUAUGUAUGGAGAGAUAGAAAUCAACCUCCUUGUGCAAUUGCAGUUGCCAUAAUUAUUGUCGUGUAAUGAAUAUUGUUUCAUGUGGUUCAUCUUUGAAACCCUACAAUCACUACCUACCCAAGGUGAAAUGAUAUUCUAUUUUGGUAAUGCUUUAUCUAAGCAUGAUAAUAAUUGACAAGGAGUAAAACAUGUAAAAACAUUUUCCUAUUUGAUUUAGGUCGAGGGUUAGUAGCUAGACACAUCCACCAUUCCUCCCUUCACACCUAGCUACUUUAUUGAGAAAAAUAAAAAAGAAAGAGCAGGUGUAGGGAGAGAAAAAAUAAGUGUAUUUAACAACAUCCUAAGUCAUUAAUAUAUAUAAUUGAUAAAAAAAAAAUUGAAUUACCUUCAAAGAUACUCAAGAAUCCUAAUUUGACUGCUUCAUUGACAAGUUUUUUGUGUCAAGUUAUGAAUGAAAUAAGAUAUAAAAAUAAUUUGACUUUGAAUUUUUUUUUUUUUACUUUUUCUUUUAUUUUAUUUUUCCUUUUUAUUUUCUUUUCCUCUCAGUUUCCUCAAAAUUUUGCGAGAGCCAAACAUAACAUUAAUAUUUUGAUACCUUAGACCUUGAAUUUUAGGCACUAGUGAGUGACUUUCAUGGUAAAAAGGAGACAAUGAAAAUUCGGGCAACAAUACUAAUUUAGAAAUAUAUGUGCCCAAAAACAUUUCUUCUUAAGGCCAAUGUUUGUUUUAUUUGUGGAGUCUCUUUCCCUUUCUCUAGCUUGAUGAUCAGAGGUUUUGUGGUCGAUGGGGGCAGGAGGUCUCACCUUGAAUUGUGUGAUUGCAAAGACUGAUUUAUUGAGCCAAAUCCAAGGAAAGAGAGAGAGCCAAAAAAAGAAUCAUAGUAUUAAGCCAAAACAUUGAACUAAAAGAAAGUUUUAGAAUGCAAUAACUUCAUGUUUGUGUUACAAACCGGGCUCGGUUUGAUUGUUGAGAAAAUGGGAGGAAAACACAGGAAAGACGGUUUUCAAUCCUAUGUUGUAAAUAUUAACAGGGUUGUAGGCUCCAAUUGGCAGUUUAGACAAUCUAGGAGACAAAAGAAAAGCAUGUUCAAAUCUAUGUGGUACCUAUUUUCUCUAUUUUAAAAUUAAAAAAAAACGAGUAACUUUUAUAAAAGAUAUAAUAAUUCUUAAAGGUUUAUGGAAAGCAAUGAUUUAAAAACAGUCUAAAAAAAUUCAAAUAUAAAAUCUUUUUAUGACCUUAAAUUUAAAAAUUCUUAAAAGUGAUUUUUAACUAUAUAAAUUAAAUACAUACAUUUUAUAGAAAAUAUUAUGGGUGACAAAGUUUGAUAUGAUUUACUAACAUAAUCCGAACCCAACAUAUAUUUCACUGGUUUGGAUCAAAUUCGUAUUGACUUGUUAAACUCAUUUAAUAAAUAGGUAAUUUUUGGAUUAACUUGCAUAACAUGAAUUUGUUCCAUUUAAUAAUCUUGCUAUUAAUUUAAUUAUAUCUUAAAACUAUUUAACUUAUAUUUGAUUUAUUUUAAAUUUAUUUUUAAAUAAAUAGAUCAAUUGAAUCAUAAAUAUAUUUAAUUGAAAUAUUAAUCAUAUAAACAUAUGGACAACUUAACUCAAUAUAAUUAUUAUAUAGGAAAACUAAUUAUUAAAUAGGUUAAAUGGGUUGUUAAACUUGUUACCUAUUUAAUUAUUAGGUAUUAUUUGAGUUUAUGUUUUUGACAUGAUUAUUAUUUAUAUCGGGUUUGGGUUGAGUUAUAUAUUAAAAUACCUAAACUUUGACACAAUACAAACAUGACCAAUCAACACAAAUUACCACCCCUACAAAAUAUUUUACUUUUAUAUAUAAAAGUUUUUAGGACUUUAAAAUAAUAAAAUAUUUAGUUUAUCCAAACUAAUACCAAAUUUUUCAUGCAAGCGAAAAUUAAAUGAUCUAAUCAACCAUUACUAAGACAACUAUUUGGUAGAACAAAAUCAACAAACAUAUAGUUAUUUCCAUUCUUGUUUUAAGCAACUAAAAAGCAAACAAUUUAACAUAUCUGUGAAAAAAAAAAAAAAACUAAAACCAAAUAUUCCGUUAAGUUAAAGAAUAGGAAAAAAGAAAGAAAAUUUAAAAAAUUUCUAGAAUUGCACUAUAUUUUGCCUCUAGAAGGUAAUUAAAAAAAAAGACCAAUGUUAACAAAUUUGUUUUUUAGAAAAAAAGGAAGAAGAAAACACUAAAACCAAAUCUUCCCGUAUGGUUAGAAUAGAGAAAAUGGAAGAAAAUUUAAAAUUUGGAAUUGCAAAAACAACUUCAACAAAUUUAUAAAACACAGGAAACACUAAAACGAAAUAUUCCAUUUGGUUAGUGAAUGAAGGAAAAUAGAGAAAAUUUAAAAUUCUGGAUUUAACAGAGGUGAGUUUUGUGGUUCUUUAAUUUAUAUUAUAUUAUUAUUAAGGAAUAUUUGGUUAAAAUGGGCAAAAGAAGCCCUCGUAAUUAAUCAUUUUUAUACCAAAUUACCCUCAAACCAUCACCUAUUAAUACAACGACAUUAUUUCAUUCCAAAUUCAAAGCAAUGCCUAUUGUACCUUCUUAAAAUUAAGUUAAAUGUCAAUGGACACAUACAAUACGUCCAGACACUUCUUAUUGAUUUUCAUAACCCCACCAUGCAAAAAUGGGAUAUACAUUUAAAAUGGAUGUCAAAGAAGGGUUAAAGUCAAAUAAUAUUUUUCACAAUAUACAUACUAUAUAUAGGAAUGUGGUAUAAUUAAUUCUUGACAUCUGGUAGACAAAGAAUAUUUCAAAAAACUUAAGAACAAAUAUGUAUAAAAUAAAGAGAUCCCAACAUCCCAAGUAAAUAAUUGUUAUAAUGGAUGCAAAUUUUGGACUACUAGUUAAUAUCAACAAUGGGUUUAAAAAAGUAUCUAAAAAUAUCAAAUUUAAAUAUUUGUACUUGUGGUAUACGAGAUGUUGCUUAGUCAAUUAGUUAUGAAAUACCAUUAACUCUAUGUGUAUUAUCAAUAUCUCUACAUGGGAUUCAUUGAGAUAUAAACUUUUCCCUUAUUUUUUUUGAGAAGAGAAGGGAAACAUACUCAAUAUUAUUUGAUUGAAUAGUUGACAUAACUCCUUAUUAUUUGAAGAAACCCUUCACUUUAAUUAAUACUUUUUAGGGAUUCAAUUUGGAAGGAGGAAGGUCGGUUAUAAGUUAAAUGUUAGAAAGAUUAAAAUCAAUGGGUGCUGGAGCUGCUACAAUUGCUUUAGCCACAACUUUUCCCACCCAUGUUGACUUUAUUAAGGUAAUCCAAAAGAGUUUAGAAGUCAUCUCUAAACUAUAAAAAGAUAAAAUCAAUCGAUUGUUAUUGAUUUUGAUAGCUAACUAAAUUUUGGGUUGUUUGAUCAAGUAAGGUAAACACGAUAGAAUUCAUAACUGUCUUGAUGUUAUGUUUUUUUCUUUUUAAUUUAAUUCAAAUCUAUUUCUUCACUAUACGUAAUUUAUACCUAGCUUAUUUUUUAAGUUUAAGCUCUCUCGAGGGACAAAAUUAGCUGCAAGAGUUCUUUCAUCUUUUUUUCUUCUUUAAUAUUGUCAAAUCCUCCAUUUGAGUUCUUCCAUGUUUUUUUUUCCUUCUUCAAGAUUGUUACAUUUUCCAUUUUUUUUAAAAUUUUUUGUUGAGGUUUUUUGUAGCUGUUUUUUAUUGCAAUUUUUUUUACAUUUGUUUUUUAGUUGGGUUUUUUUUUCGUAGCUUUUUUUUUGUUAGGGUUUGUAGUUGCUUUUAUUAGGGUUUUUUGGGUGUUGUUUUUUAUUAGGGUUUUCUAUCUAUAUAUAUAUAUAUCUAUAUAUAUAUAUAUAUAUAUAUAUUGUGAUUUUUUACAAUUUCAUUUAAACUUCUAUGUUGUUUUUGGCUAGAGGUUUUUAUAGUUGUUUUUUUUGCAUUUAUUUUUUGUUGGGAUUUUGGCAGGAGUUUUUUGUAGUUUUUUUUUUUAUGGGGUUUUUUUGUAGUUGAGUUUUUAUUAGGUUUUGAACAUGAGAUCAAAUAAAUGAACAUCUAAUUAAGAUUUAUUGAUAAAAUAAAAAUUAAUGUCAUUUAAGUUCUUUUAAAAUGAAACUUAAUCAUAGUACAAUUUAGGUUAUAAUAAUCAAGUUCUUUGUAGAUGAAAGGGAAACUUAACCUUAAUUAAGAUCUUUCUAAAUGAAACUUAACUAUAGUAUAAUUUAGAUUAUCAUUAUAAUAGAGAACUAACCUUAUUUAGGUUUUUUUGUAGGCUUAACUUAAUUCUGGUGUAGUUCAAUUGAACACCCACAAUGAAAAAUUUAUCUUAGUAAGAAAAGCAAACUAAAAAGAUAAAUAUAUUAUAAAAAAAUGAUGAAAUGCAUAAAGCGAAAACAAAAAGUGGGAAGGUGAUGUUUUUGGAGCAGUGUAGUUCAGAUGAACACUUUGAACAAAAAUGAAAACAAGUUGUUUGAGAGAUAAAACAAUAGAUAGAGCAUUAUGAGAGGAGAAAGAAUUUUCUCAAAGCGUCAUGAAGGGAAAUAAAAAUAAAACAAAUUUAAAACAUAAUAGAUGGCAACAAUUACUAUUGUUGGUUGGAUGAAUUGUAACAGGUAAAGGAACAGUGGCUUGGAUUUAGUUAGAUGUGGAACACAACAGUGAGCCAUCAGAAGCACGAGACCAAUGGGCACAAGAGUAAGGAUGGAAUAAUUUUUCUCUCUUAUUCUAAGGGCUGGGGUGGGGGGACUUUUAUAGGUAAAGUUCUAAGGAGACUCUCCUCUAAAAGUUGAAUGUCUAAAAUUAAUUUAAAAUAGUUUACCUAUUCCAGUCCAUUAACAUGUUCUCAAAACCUAAUUCCAUACUCCAACUACGGAGGACCCAGUGAAAGACUUAUAUAUCCAAAAGGAAAAACCCUUAAAAUUAAUAAAAAAGAAUCAACUUUUAUUUUGUAAACGAAGGUUAAAAUUGGGAACAUAGGAACCUCUAUGCUUGACGAAGAUUUUCUAGAUUGGGUUACUUUAAAUCCUACUUGAUAGGCCUGGACUCCUUGGGCACGCGAGACCCCUACUUCCCUCUCGACAAGUGUUCAAUCCCCUUUCAAUGUAGAAUUGUCCAUUUUAGCUUGAGCAGUCCAAUACACACACCCACAUGCAUUUUUUCCGGACGCUCUUUUCUCCUUAAAAGUAAAACAUUUUGUACAAAAAGUAUAAAUUUAUUUUAUGUUCUUAAAAAUCACUUUAACAAUUUUAACUUUUGAGGUAAUAAACUUUUUUGAUACCUAAUUUUUUUUAUACCUUUUUUAAAACCACUACAUUUUUUGUGUAAGUCUUUUAAGAAUUCUUGUACUUCAUGUAAAAGUUACUAUUAUUUUUUUUUUAUUUAAAAAAUAUAAAACAAGAAGUAUAUCCAAAUAGAUACUAAAUUUAGUAUUAACUUUCAUUAAAUAUUAAGUAAUGAGCUAUGAGAUAGACAAUUAAGGGAGCCAAGAUGAAUUAAGGGAAAUUGAUUUCUUUCAACUCUUUUUAGUACUUUGAAAGGAUAUUUUUGGCAGUGAUUUGGGUAAAAGUCUUUUUAGUCUUAGUGGUUUUCGUGGUAAAACUUGUAUAAUAAAUACUAUUAUGGAUACUUAUAGCCUAUUUGGGACUAUAUUCGAAAACAAAAAAUUGUUUUUUUAGAAUUGAAAAUACAUUUCAUAAAUUUUUAAUGGAAAGUAGUUUUUUUAAAAAAAAAACUUGUUAUGAAAAGAAAGUGUUUUUGAAAACAUAUAUAUUUUAACUAUUUUAAAUUGUUUUCACUUAUCUGCUAAGGAUUGUUUUAAAAAUAGUUAUGCAAACAUGAAAGGAUUGAAAACAAAGCAUUAUAGAUAAAAGUUUUUAUUUGUAUUUUUUUUUAAAUUUGGAAACAUACAAAAAACGCAAUGCGAAUAUACCAAGUUUCUAGAUAGUUUUUUGUUCUAAAUAAUAUCAGAGAACUAUUCUCAAUUUUUUUUUCCUUUUUGAAAAUUGUAAGUUCUCAAACAGGUCUUUAGUAUUUGAAAAAAAAAAAAAGUUUUUCAUAGCAUUAAUUUUGGCAAUUUGUAUAAUAAAAAAUGAUUUUCAAAGGAAACGUCAAUCAAGUCCUAAUAUAAAAAAUGAUUCUCUAGAUUUUUAAUUAAAAAUAAUCUUUAGUAUGAAGGAAAGAAUAAGCUCUGAAUUUCAUAUAUCAUACACAAAGCGGGCCAUGUGACCUUCAAAUAUGUAACGGUAAUAGUAAUAUUGUCAUAUUUUGUCAAUUGUCCCCAGAAAACUCCAAAUUGCAUGCGCUUAAUAUAUGUUGAAUACAUCGAUGUAAUCGGACAUAAAACAUUUAUAUUGUAGCAGCAAUAUAAGUAAAGGCUAUACUUGUAUGUCCAAUGAGAAAAAAACAAGAGGAAAAACUACUGUUGGGUUUGUUUUGCAAGGAAUGGUCAGCACAACUGUAAGUGCAAUAACACCUCCGCAAACUGCCUACACCAUUUGUCCAACAAGUAUCCUCCUCCAUUUUCCAAUGGCCAAACCAAUCUCCUAACCUCUCUACGAAAAAAUUCCCCAGAAAAACACUCUCCAUAGAGCCUUGGAACUCACCAUCUUCUUCCUUCUCCUCUCUCUCCUUGCUUAUCGUCUCCUCUCCCUAAAAAACAAUGGCUUCACUUGGCUCCUCGCCUUCCUCUGUGAGUCAUGGUUCGCCUUUAUUUGGAUUCUUAACUUGAGCCCCAAAUGGAAUCCUGUGUCCUACAAAACAUACCCUGAACGCCUUCUACAAUGUUAUCGGUAUCCAAUAAUUCUCUUAGUAAAACUCUUCAUGCGCUUUGGUGUUUUUUUCUGCCUUCAAAUUUUAUAUACAACCAUACUUGCGAUAUUUCUGAACAGAGAGAGUUGAUGAGCUUCCUCCAGUGGACAUGUUUGUGGCAAUUGCAGACCCCAUGCUGGAACCCCCUAUCAUCAACAAUCCUCUCCUUGCUGGCAGUUUACUAUCCAGAUAACAAGCUUUCUUUCUACGUGUCCAAUGAUGGGGCUUCCCCUCUCACCUUCUUCGUUCUCCUUGAAGCAUCCAAGUUUGCUAAGCUUUGGGUUCCUUUCUGUAAGUAUGGUAUUCAAACUAGAGCUCCCUUUAGAUACUUUUCCAGCGAGUUGGCAUCAUCCCAUGAUAAUUCAAUGGGGUUCCUACAAGAAUACAAAAAGAUAAAGGUAAGUGCGUGAUUCCUAGUAGGAACCAUUAAUACUGGAAAUUAAUUAUAUUAGUUCAGAUGAUUUUUACUAUAAUUUUAAUUACAAUUGUUAAAAUGCAGAUGAUUUUGAAUUUUGAAAUUUCCUUUUCCUUUAGUAUAUUGGAUAUCGAUCCUUUUCUUUUCUAUUUAUAUAUAGACCUUCUUCAGUAAAGAAUUCUACUAGCUAGCUAGUAAGUUACUUUUCCAAACAUACUGGCCUCCUCUCCAUCAUGGUACAGUGAUGCUUUGAUAAAAGCUUUUGCAUAUCUGUCUUUCGUUUAAACAAUUUUGUUCAUCUUCAUCUCCUUUAGGAACGAUAUAAAGAGCUUACACGAAAAAUUGAAGAUGCAACUCUAAAUUCAAAGCCUUAUGAACUUGGUACUGCAGAGUUUGUGGCUUUCUCAAAUGUAGAAAGAAGAAACCAUCCGACCAUAAUCAAGGUAUGUUCAUAUAUAGCUCAUCUGUUAUUUACUUAUUAUUACCUUGUUAAUUGUAGAUCAAAGUAAGCAACCAAUUUAAAAUCUGUUACUUUUAGGUUAACACUGAGAGGACGAGUGGUGGAAAAGGAAGCAUUUGACAAUAUUUCGAUAACCAUGAACGGUGACUUUGUAGGUUAUAUUGCUGAACAAAGAAAGCCGCUCUGAAGGGUUGCCACAUCUAGUCUAUGUGUCUAGAGAGAAGCAUCCCAACCAUCCACACCAUUACAAAGCCAGUGCUAUGAAUGUUCUGGUAAGGAAGCUCCUUGAAUUGGUAUAACUACUGAUAUCCCUUUUUGUUUAAUAAAGAAGAUCCUUCAAUUGGUAUAAUUAAUGAUAUCCCCUUUUUUCCCCUGAUUGUUUCAUGAUAACAGACUAGGGUCUCUGGAGUUAUGACAAAUGCUCCUUUCAUGAUGAACGUCGACUGUGAUAUGUACGCUAACAAUCCACAGAUUUUUCAUCACGAAAUGUGUUUGCUCCUUGGUUCCAAGAAUGAACAGGAAUGCGGGUUUGUUCAGACUCCACAACUCUUCUAUGAUGGACUAAAGGACGACCUAUUUGGAAAUCAGCUAGUAGUGUGGUAUAAGGUAAUUUCAAUAGUGAAGAGCAAUCUCUUCCAUACUAUAGAGCACGUACGCGCAUAUUUUUUUGAUAGCGAGUCCUACGAAAAUCUUGUGCUUAUGUAGAAGCCUAAUUUCUUUUUUGCUUCUUAAUUAAUGUGUUUGAAACAGUAUAUGGGGAGUGGGAUAGCAGGGCUUCAAGGACCUAUGUAUUCUGGAACGGGAUGUUUUCAUCGAAGAAAAGUUAUCUAUGGGUUAUGGCAAGAUGGCAGGAUGGAAAUCAAAGGAAGAAGUGGUAUGCAAAUCAAAUUUUUCAUGGUCAUUCUUCACUGUACAUAUCUUCUUGUUUUCUGUCAUUCUAUGAAACCAUGCAUUGCAAUUUUUCUACUGUUUGGCAGGAAAAUUAACUGAUCAUGAGGGAUUACAAAAAACAUUCGGAAAUUCAAAGGAAUUCACCAGAACAGCAGUAAAGAUUUUAUCAGGGUUGAGCGGGAAUUUGGUAAAUUCUACCACAAGAAUAACAAUUAAAUACCAACAAUUAUGAUAUUUAUAUCUCAUUUAACAUUUUUAAAGCAAAGCUAAAUCAUUUUACACAUUUAGGGUUUCCAAAAACAACCUAAAUGAAAAUUAUAUAACGAUUUGCUACACCCAACAACUCACUCAUUUUCAUGGAAGUUUUUGAAAAUAAAUAAAAGCAAAACAAAAAACCCCAAAAAAAGUCUAAGGAAAAACACAUCCCUACAUGUACCGUAAAAUCUAACCGUGGGAUCGAAAAUCUGACUCCUUAGAAGUGUUCACUGUGCUAAAGACUAUCAUUGCCUGAAAUUUCAUCAUGAUCGAAGUUCGUUUCACCAUUAGAUCAAUGGAGACACACGAAUGACCAUCUCUCUGCAUCUCCUCUAUACUUUCCCUAUUCUUAAAUACUUUUCAAUAAAAUAAGUCAUAAAAAAUUAUAAUAUUUUAAUUAUUUAUAAAAUAUAUUUAUUUUAAUGUGAAUAAUUUUUUUUUAAAAAGAAUCUAAAAAAGUUUCCAAUAUAAGUUUAAUAGGAGAGGAUAAGGUGAGUAUGAAAAAUUUAUAUCCUAUUUAAUUUUUUUAACAAGAUGAUGAUAAAAAAUAUUUUGAAUAAAUAAGAUAAGACAGGGAUAAGCAUCUCUAAUCCAUUUUAUUGCCAUCUCUACACGAUUGAAGAGAAUAUUUUUUGACAUGCAAUUUUUCUUAUAUUUUAUGUUAUUUUCAAAACUCCUUGUACAUUAGAGUUGUAAACAUGCAUGAUUAAUUGAAUAAAUUAGGAUAAAGAUAAUGUCACAUCAAUAUGCAUUCCACAAAAAGGAAGAAAUUGAAUGGGAGCAUGUACCGGCUUCAUCAGCCGGCAAUCAUGCAAAAUUUGGCUGAUAUUUACGUCUAUUGUGGACUUUACACCAAGUUUACUCUAUCAUAUGGGCCAAUUAUCCAUCUCUAUCGCCCUAAAGCAUCAGUAUCCCCUAUUUGUUCUUUUGGGGAAAAAUAUAACAAUCAGGUUGCAGGGUCAAUUUGGUAGGGUACACCUGUCAAGAGUAUUGUGGACGUGGCCGUAAAGUACGACCACUGCACUUGACAUGAUCUCUAAGCCAUGGUUUCUUCCACAUGAAUUUUCUUUUUUCUGAAUUAUGUUCAACGAUAUCAUCAUGGAUUUGCCUGCCACGCUUCUAUAAUUCAAUCUUGAGUUACCUUGAAGAUCAUGCAUGCUUUUGUCUUCCACAUUCAUUUUUCCAAAUCUUUCAUGCAGCUAGAUGAUUAAUUGCAAAUUUAUGUUGAUUAACUCUUGUAUUUUUUUAUCAUGCACGAUACACACGUAAACUCAGUCUUAAUUAUUUUACAAAUAACAUUUUGUUAAAUUAAUUACACUUUACAACAAAAAAAACUUGGAUUAUAAUACAAAUGUCCAUAUCAAAGGAAGUUCUACAGACAUUAUAAUUAUAACUCGGAUGAGUUAGAUGAGCUAGAAGACUAAUUUGUUUCAAAUCUACUAUCAACUUGUCCAACCCAAACCACAUCUAAUUAACUCAAGGUUGGAUCGAAAAUUAUUAAUCCACUCCAAGUCCUAUACAAUUGAGGUUCCAGUUCUUACAAGUUAUUGAGUAAGAUAAUUAUUUUAAAGUCUAUAUCAAAUAAAAUAUAUUAUAAAAUAAAAUAUUACAACUUAAAUGUCUCAAAGUUUUAAACCAUGUCCUUUAGCCAUUGAUUUAAUGUAUAUGACACCUGACCAACUAAAAUUUCAACAUUCGAAAAUAUUCUAACAAUUAGAGUCAUGACCUACAAAAGUGAGAAAUAUUAGACUUUAUAUGUGUAUAUAUAUAUAUAUAUAUAUAUAUAUAUAUAUAUAUAUAUAUAUAUAACAAUAAAUAAUAUAAUUUUAAGUUAAUAAAUAAAUAAUAAUGUAUAAAUAUGGGUUUCCAUGGGUUGUCUAAAUGAUUAAACUGUGGCAAUAUUAAUAUUUUAUGGUUGAUGGUUUUCUAACCCAAGCACCAAGCUAACCCAUUUAAACCUUACCCACAUCAAUUGGAACUGGGGUGAACCCUCGAAGUUGCAGUCCAAAGAGACGUAAAUUAAGGUGUCGAUUAAAUUCAAAGAUUAAUAUUUAAUUACCUAAAAUAAUUUAUGAAAUUUUCUUUAUUUGAUGACUUAAAACUUAUCAUUUAAUCUUAAUUUUUCAGUAUCAAGAUUACUUAAUAAAAUUAACUUAAAUUUUUUUAAAUUAGCUAUCAAAUUUAACAUAUUAACUUUUAUUAAUAUUAAGUCAUGACCAAUGAGAGAGACAAUUAAGGGAGCAAGAUAUAAUAGUUGUGAUAUAAAAUUGAUGAGAACUAUAUUGAAAACUGUUUUUACUUUUCUUUUGACUUUUUUUUACUCUUAAGGAUCAUUUUGACCUAUAUAGUUCUUUGUUAGGAAAACUCUUAUAGUAAAUACUUUUAUGAAUAUUUAAUAUUUGGCAAUAAAUAAAUAAAAAAAGUUCUUGAUGAUAUAUGUAUGAUUAAAAAAGUGAUUUUUAGAAAAACUUUUACCAAAUCUUUGUAUAAGAUGUGAUUUUAAAAUUUCUCAAAGAUAGUUUUUGAAACUUAAUCAAAUACAUAUUAAAAAUAAGUAGUUUUAGCAUUUUCAGAGUCAUACCCAAAUAAACUUUUAGGUAUUCUUGACUUUAAAUAGCCUUAUUGAGUCCUAUUGACUAAUAAUACUAAUUAUAUCUGUCGGAGGGACAGCUGGGAAAUCCACGAAUGCAUGCGGUAUAUGUUGAAUAAAAUCAAUGUGUAUUAUGCAUCACACAUUUAUAUUGUAGUAGUAAUAAUAGGAAUAUGGCUGUUUAAUUAAACUACACUAGUAUGUCCAGUGAGAAAAAACAAGAGGAAAAUUGAAAAACUACUGUUGGGUUUGCUCUGCAAGGAAUGGCCAGCACAACUAUAAAGCCUGUCUAACCCGGCAACUCUUAAGGUAUCCUCCUCCAUUCUCGAAUGGCCGCACCAAUCUCACCUCUCUAUGAAAAAAUCCUCCAGAAAAAUACACUCCAUAGAGCCUUGGACCUUACCAUCUUCUUCCUUCUCCUCUGUCUCCUUGCUUAUCGUCUCCUCUCCCUAAAAAACAAUGGUUUCGCUUGGCUCGUCGCCUUCCUCUGUGAGUCAUGGUUCACCUUUCUUUGGGUUCUUAACUUGAGCUCCAAAUGAAAUCCUGUGUCCUACAAAACAUACCCUGAACGCCUUCUACAAUGUUAUCGGUAUCCAACAAUUCUCUUAGUAAAACUCUUCAUGUACUUUGGCGUUUUUUUCUGCCUUCAAUUUUCAUAUAUGACCAUACUCUUGAUUUUCAGAACAGAGUUGAUGAGCUUCCUCCAGUGGACAUGUUUGUUACAACUACAGAUCCCAUGCUGGAACCCCCUAUCAUCACUGUAAACACUGUCCUCUCCUUACUGGCAGUUGACUAUCCAGCUAACAAGCUUUCUUGCUAUGUGUCGGAUGAUGGAGCUUCCCCUCUCACCUUCUACGCUCUCCUUGAAGCAUCUAAGUUUUCUAAGCUUUGGGUUCCUUUCUGUAAGAAGUAUGGUAUUCAAACUAGAGCUCCCUUUAGAUACUUUUCCAGUGAGUUGGUAUCAUCGAAUGAUAAUUCGAUGGAGUUCCUACAAGAAUACAGAAAGAUGAAGGUACGCAAACUAUUCCUAGUAUGAACCAUAGGUACUUGGUGAAAUUUAAUUUUUGCUUCUUUACUUUUAAUUACAAUUCUUAAAAUGCAGAUGAUUUGGAAUUUGGAAUUUUCUUUUCCUUCAGCAUAUUGAGUAUUGUAAAGUGUGAUUAAAGGGUCAAAGCUUAACCCUAAUUGAUAUUCAUCCAUGUAAAUAUAUAGUACAUCAAGCAAACCUAAUUAAGGGAAAACCGUGAGUUUAGGAAACAUUCCUAAACAAUGCCGUGAGUUUAGGAAACAAUCCUAAACAAUAGCUCCUAGAAUAUAUCAUAAUAUCUCAACAUUUAGGAAACAAUCCUAAACAAUAGCUCUUAGAAUAUAUCAUAAUAUCUCAACAUUUAGGAAACAAUCCUAAACAAUAGCAACUACUUUCCUAGAAUAUAUCAUAAUAUCUCAACACCCUCCCUCAAGUUGGAGCAUGAGGUUCAAAAAUGCCCAACUUGGCAAGAAGAUAAUCAAAUUGUUUCUUUCCAAGAGCCUUUGUAAAAAUAUCGGCCAAUUGUGUAACAGUAGGAACAUAUGACGGAGCAAUCAAACCAUCUGUUAUCGCAUCCCGAACAAAGUGACAAUCAACCUCAAUGUGUUUGGUGCGUUCAUGAAAUACUGGAUUUUUGGCCAUAUGAAGGGCUGACUGACUAUCACAAAAGAGCUUGAUUGCCUUUGGGUGGUGCACACCCAAGCUCAGAAGCAACCCCUUCAACCAUUUGAGCUCACAAGUAACUGCUGCCAUAGCUCGGUAUUUCGCUUCUGCAGACGAGCGGGAAACUGUGUGUUGCUUCUUUGUCUUCCAAGAAAUAGGAGAUUGCCCAAGAAACACAAGCCAUCCAGACAAAGAGCGUCUAGUGACUGGACAUGCUGCCCAAUCAGAAUCACACCAACCCUGCAGGGACAUAUCACUAUCUGCACGUAACAAGAUACCCUGACCCGGAGUACCUUUCAAAUAACGAACGACUUUCAAAGCCGCCUCCCAAUGCUCAAUUCUAGGCUCCUGCAUAAAUUGAGAUAAUAUAUGAACCGAGUAGGCCAAAUCUAGAUGGGUCACUGCCAGAUAAAUGAGUCGACCUACUAAUCUGUGAUAGGACUCAGGGUUCGACAAGAGCUCCCCAUUUGCGAGUCCUAAUCUGUGAUUUUGCUCGAUCGGGAAGCCACACGGCUUGGCUCCCAGUAAUCCGGCCUCCGAUACAAUGUCAAGUGUGUACUUGCGUUGACACAAGAACAAACCAGCCGAACUCCUGGCCACCUCGAUUCUGAGGAAAUACUUCAAAACACCAAGAUCUUUCAUCUUAAAACAAUCACUGAGAAAGGCUUUAAAGGUCUUAAGUGCAGCGGAAUCAUUCCCAGAGAUAAUAAGAUCGUCGACAUACACUAGCACAUUUAUUUGAACAUUGCCCUUAGUGUAAGUAAAAAGAGAAUAAUCAGAGUAGGAUUGUAAGAAACCAUAUCCUUUGAGAGCCGUGACCAACUUGGCAAACCAACAUCUCGGAGCCUGUUUCAACCCAUAAAGUGAUUUCCGUAACCUGCAAACCAAGUUCGGAUCGGAACUCUCAAAUCCUGGGGGUAGCUUCAUAUACACUUCCUCCUCAAGAUCUCCAUGCAAAAAGGCAUUGUGAACAUCCAUCUGAUGAAGUUCCCAAUUUUUCGAAGCCGCAAUAGCCAAGAAAGCACGCACCGUAGUCAUUUUGGCAACUGGAGAAAAAGUCUCAUGAUAAUCAAUACCGGCUUCUUGAUGAUUCCCCAAAACUACUAAUCUGGAUUUGAGCCUUUCAAUAUCACCGUUUGAGAAGUACUUGGUUCUGUAAACCCACUGACUUCCCAAAGCACGCUUACCCUUUGGAAGAGGUUCAAGAGUCCACGUACCAUUUUCCUCCAAAGCCCGAAUCUCCUCAUGCAUUGACUUUUGCCAACCGACAUCUUUCAUAGCCUCUUUAAAUGACUUAGGAUCAUUGCUCGAAAUAAUAGCUGCAAGAAACUUUUGAUAAUGUAUAGAAAAAUUGUCACAAUUUAUAUAAUGUGCUAUGGGAUAAGGAGUACCUGAGGGAUGCUGUGGAGAUGGAGUGGCGGGAGAUGGACUUUCAGCAACCACCGUAUGAGUAACAAAAUCUCGUAAUAGAACCGAAGGAAAUUUAUCCCUCAUUCCCUUUCCCAUAGGAGCAGACUGCCCAUUGCUUGUAUUGUCAAGCCCAAGUGAAUCAAGCCCAACAGUGGGAACAACUUCCGGCCCAGGUGAAAGAUCUUGGUGGGCUUGGGGUUCAGGUUGGAUGAGGUUGGGAUUUUGUGUUUGGGCUUGUGGGUUAGGUAAAUCAGCAUCAUCAUCGACAAAAUCAGCAAAAUCACUAUCAAUUUCAACAUUUACCGUAGGCACAAUGUUGUCCGGAAUAAUAUUCACAGCACCUAGGUUACCAAACGGAAAAACAUCCUCAAAAAACUUGACAUCACGAGAAACAAAUAAUUCCUUGGUGUCCAAAUCAAACAACUUCCACCCCUUCUUUCCAAACGGGUAACCCAAAAACACACAUUUUCUACUUCUACUUGCAAAUUUGUCACUUUUGGAUUUUUGAUCAUGAGCAAAACUAAGACAACCAAAGGUGUGAAUUGCCGCAUAUGAAGGAGGGGUGCCAAAUAGGAUUUCAAAUGGUGUUUUAUUGUGUAACAAAGGAGAGGGAGUGCGGUUUAUUAAAUGAGCAGCGGCAAGAACACUUUCGCCCCAAAAAUAAAUAGGCAAAUUUGCUUGAAAGCGUAAUGCCCUCCCCACAUUUAAAAUAUGCUUGUGUUUUCUCUCAACCCUCCCAUUUUGUUGUGGAGUUCCCACACAAGAAGUUUGGAAUAAAAUGCCAGUUGCAGAAAAAUAGUCAAGUAGGCAUUUAAAUUCCGUACCAUUAUCACUUUGAACAACUUUCACUAUUUGAGAAAAUUGUCGAUCUACCAUUGCAAUAAAAGACAUAAACAUCCGAAAAACUUCUGUUUUAUCGACCAACAAAUAAAUCCACACAGCUCUUGAGAAAUCAUCAACAAUAGUUAAAAAAUAACGAGCUCCACAAGAAGAGACAUGUUUAUAAGAGCCCCACAAAUCACAAUGUAUUUUCUCAAAAAUUCUAGUUGUCUUAUUGUCACUUAAAGGAAAUUUGUCUCUAGGAUGCUUAUCACGAAAACAUAUUUCACAAGCUUUGUUUAAACUACCCUUAAGAUUGCUAACUGGAGGAAGUAACUUCACUACUUUCUCUGAAGGAUGUCCCAUCCUUUUGUGCCACAACUCCAAAGUGGAGGCUGCGUUGUGGACAGAAACAUGUUGUACCGAAUCACCUUCAGCUCCACCGAAGUAGUAAAGUCCAUCUCGCCUAACUCCCGUUCCAAUCAGUUCCCUGGUGUGAUCCUUUAUAGCACACAUAUAAGAGUUAAAUUGGACAAUACAAUGUAAGUCAUCAAUCAAUUGUGAAACCGAAAGUAAAUUGCAAUUGAGUUUCGGCACAUAAAGAACGUUUUUAAGAGUGAUGUUAUUCGACAAACGAACGGAACCGGAUUGGGUCGCAACAACAGAUUCACCAUUAGGAAGGCCAACCGGACACUCAAACAACGCUAUAGUAUCAAAUAACCAAGAUAAAUCACUGGUCACGUGAUGAGUUGCCCCGGUGUCAAUGAUCCAUGACUUCGUGUCAAACUUACCAUUCAACCUGUCAUCCGGAACUUGAGCAUUACCAAUUAAGCCGGCAAGAGCUUUCCAUUGUUCGGGAUUUAAAUAUCGUACGAACUUGCGGCGUGCCUCCAAUGCCAACUGAAUAUCGGAAGCCCAAUCAUCGUAAUUGUCGCCGCGUAAGCGAGUGGGAGUGAUGAAGUCGCCUGGUCGGUCUCCUGUGCCGAGAAAAAAAGGUGAAUUCAUCUCCCUUUUAGGUGGCGGCAAUGGUGGUUGUUCAUCGUCGCCGGCCAUUGUUUUAUUGUGUGUGCAUGUUAGUGCUCUGAUACCAUGUAAAGUGUGAUUAAAGGGUCAAAGCUUAACCCUAAUUGAUAUUCAUCCAUGUAAAUAUAUAGUACAUCAAGCAAACCUAAUUAAGGGAAAACCGUGAGUUUAGGAAACAUUCCUAAACAAUGCCGUGAGUUUAGGAAACAAUCCUAAACAAUAGCAACUACUUUCCUAGAAUAUAUCAUAAUAUCUCAACAAGUAUUGACACUUUUCUUUUCUGUUUAUACAUAAACCUUCUUCAGAAAAGAAUUCCACUAGCCAGUCUGUUACUUCUCCAAAUAUAUCUCCUCUUCAUCAGUGUACAGUGACGCUUUGAUAAAAGCUUUUGCAGAUAUCUUCCUUGUGCUUAUACAAUUUUGUUCAUCUUCAUCUCUUUUAGGAAAGAUAUGAAGAGCUUAGACAAAAAAUUGAAGAUGCAACCCUAAAGUCAAUGUCGUAUGAGCUUAGUUCUGCAGAGUUCGUGGCUUUCUCAAAUGUAGAAAGGGAAAACCAUCCGACCAUAAUCAAGGUAUGUUUACUCAUUAUUACCAUUAUUAAUUAUAUAUCAAAAAAAGGCAACACGUGCGGCUAAUCAUAUGAGAUUAAAAUGAUUAUAUAAAUAUUUUGCCCAUGGAUUAGUAUUUAAAAAAAAAAAAAAAAAAAAGCAACCAAUUUAAGCUAUAACUAUUUGGUUAACAUGAGAGAGCUAGGGAGUGGUGAUAAAGGAAGUAUUUGACAACAUUUCUAUAACCAUGAAUGGUGACUUUGUAGGUUAUAUUGGAGAACAAGGAGACCCGCCCUGAUGGACUGCCACAUCUAGUUUAUGUAUCCAGAGAGAAGCAUCCCAGGCAUCCACACCAUUACAAAGCCGGUGCCAUGAAUGUUCUGGUAAGGAAGCCCCUUGAAUUGUGGCAUAAUUACUGAUAUUCCUUCUUUUCCCCUGAUUGUUUCAUGAUAAACAGACCAGAGUCUCUGGAGUUAUGACAAAUGCUCCUUUCAUGCUGAACGUAGACUGUGAUAUGUACGCCAAGACCUCGAGUUUGUUCAGACUCCACAAUCCUUCUAUGAUGGACUAAAGGACGACCCAUUUGGAAAUCAGCUAGUAGUUUUGUAUAAGGUAUGCUAAAUUUCAAUAGUGAAGAGUGAUCUCUUCCAUACUAUAGAGCACACGUAAUAGAAGCCUCUUUCAUUUUUUAUUUUUAUUAAUUGAUGUGUUUGCUGAUCAGUAUGUGGGAAGUGGGAUAGCAGGGCUUCAAGGACCUAUGUAUGGUGGAACGGGAUGUUUUCAUCGAAGAAAAGUUAUCUAUGGGUUAUGGCCAGAAGGUAGGAUGGAGAUCAAAGGAAGAAGUGAUGCAGCCAAUUUAUUUGUCUUACAUAUCAUUCUAAUUUUCUUAGGGGGAUCUUAAAAUGUUAUAUGAAACUAUGCAUGCAAUACAAUUUUCCACUUCUUGGUAGGAAAAUUAACUGAUGAGAGAUUAGAAAAAACAUUCGGAAAUUCAAAGGAAUUCACCACAACAGCUGCAAGGAUUUUAUCCGGGUUGAGCGGGAUUUCCCAUUGUCCAUAUGAUCUUUUGAAUCGGGUUGAGGCAGCCCAACAAGUUGCAACUUGCAGCUAUGAGUAUGGAACUAGCUGGGGUACAAAGGUGAGUUGCAAAUAUUUAGGACAAAAAGAGUAGUACCUUGAAUAAAAUCCACGUUUCCUUUUUUACCUUAAGUUCAUACUUUUUUUCAGUAAAUAAGGAUUUUCGUUAUUUUUAUUUUUAUUUUUAUUUUUUUUAAUUUAAAAAAAAAAAAAAAAAAAAAACUUCACUGAAAGCUGCAUUAACUCUACUUUAAGGCAUUCUCACUGUAUAAUGGUUUUAGAUGCCUGAUGUUUUGUAAUCAGAUUGGCUGGUUAUAUGGAACCACAGCAGAAGACAUUCUCACAGGUAUGAGGAUACAUGCAAAAGGUUGGAGAUCCACAUACUGCCAGCGUGACCCACCGGCAUUUCUUGGGUGCGUACCCUCAGGCGGGCCUGUUUCACUUACCCAACGGAAGAGAUGGGCUACCGGCCUCCUUGAGGUCCAGUUCAGCAAGAACAGCCCUUUCAUCGCCACCCUUACUGCCAAGCUCCAAUUCCGCCAAUGUCUUGCAUACAUGUGGAUUCUUUCUAGGGGUCGACGGUCAAUUCCUGAGCUUGGUUAUAUUGCUUUGCCAGCAUAUUGCAUCAUGGCCCGCUCACAUUUCUUGCCCAAGGUAAGGAUAUUGGAAAGUCUCUCAAAUUUUUAAUUGACAUAUAUUUCUUUUUCUAAAAAAAAUGUUGUAUAGAAUAUUUUUUAUGCUCAAGUCAUUAUAAUUGGAUUCCUUAUGGAAAUAGGGGAACUAUUAAAAAUAUCUCGAUAAAUAGCAUAAGUCAUGAUGAAAAAAAUGUUACGAGAUAAAAAUAAAUUUAUGAAGAAUAUAUGUAAUAGAUAGAAAUGUGAGGAAGAAUAGAAGGCAUUUGGUAAAGUUGGAUUAAAGCUUACAUUGACACAACAAGUGGUAUCAAAGAUUUGAUUGAAUAUUUUUGGAAGGACAACAAGAAUAGAACACAAAAAAGGAUUACAAAAGAAAUUAAUUUUUAUUGAAGGUAAAGUCAAUUGUUUCUCUCAUAAAAAUGUGAUACAAGAAGCAUGAGGAUCGUGACGCAUGACAAGAUCAUGGUGCACGAAGGCAAUUGUGACAUGCGAGAAGAGCGUGGUACACAUGGAAGCUGGGUAUAAAAUAAGGAUUUGGUUAAAACAAGCUUUGUAAAAGAGUGUAUCUUAAAUAAAUGAAAGAAUAACUUAAUAAAAUUUGAUCAAAUGUGAGGAUGGUUGGAAAACGUCUCAAAUUUCUAAUUAGUAUAUAUUUAUUUUAAAAAAAUAUUUUAUUGAAUAUUUUCUAAUUUCAUAUGUCAUUAUAAUUAUAUUCUUUAUAAAAUAAGGAAAGUCAUUGGAAAAUAUCUCUACAAAUAUUAUAAAUUAUGAGAGGAAAAAGUUAUGAAAUAAAUAUAUGUUUGUGAAGACUAUCCAGAGAUGUGAGGAAGAGUGAAUGAUACUAGAUGGAAUAAGAGGACUAAUUAUUUAAGGUAUAAAUACAAAGAAUGAGAAAAUAUAAGAUAUUUACUGAACUAAUAAUUAAUUUAUUUUUAUCAUUUAUAAUAAUUUCUAUAGUAUAGUGAAAUGUUAUUUGUCAUAUGUUAAUAUAGACAUGAUUAGUCGAAAAACCUCAUGUAUCUCUGUGUGAAUUAUUUGAUUUUUGUGUUCUUGCAUUAGCAUAUUUCCAUUGAAGCUUCCACUUGCACAACAUAGCUAGUGUUCUAAGAUAUAGGUCUUGCUUUGUUUUUGCUUUUCACCAACCUUUGUUUUAUUAUCAUUUUAUGCAUACCUAGCAUUAGUACUUCACCAACAUUUGUUUUGUUAUCAUUUUAUGGUCCUACUAGCUAGCUAUAUUAUGCACACAUAGCAUAUUAAUUCUAAUUUUGCUGAAAAUAAUUUAAAUUCUAAAUGAUUUCUACUUUAAAAUGUUCUAAGAUGCAACCAAAUAUACACUGUAUUAAUAGCUUCAAAUUGUUGGGGGGUUGUAGUCCUGGUCACCAAGCCUAAAAUCUCAAGCUCUUAGGUUAAUUAUAAAGUUUGUAAUGUAACAAAAAUAUGCCCAAUAAUGCAGGUCCAAGAGCCAGCUAUGUUUGAUACCGAUAUCUCUCUUUAUCACUUACCACUUUUACACUAUUGGAAUACUGUGGGGCUGGGCUUUCAAGCAGAGCAUGCUGGAAUAACCUGAGGAUGGGGAGAAUAACCACAGUGACUGCUAGGUUAUUUGGAUUUUUCAGUGUUAUUCUGAAGCUCCUGGGAUUGUCGAAGACCAUCUUUGAAGUUACAAAAAAAGACCAAUCUACUACUCCUGUGGAGGACAAUGACAAGGAUGCUGGUCGGUUCACCUUUGAUGAGUCUCUGAUUUUUGUUCUGGCCACUACUCUUGCGUUGUUGCAUCUGGUGGCACUGGUUGCAGCCUCGAUAGGACCAUCUCAUGUUGGGAUUGAAUCAAGAAUAGGGGAAGUAAUAUGUAGUGUGUGGCUAGUGCUAUGCUUCUUCCCAUUUUUGACAGGCCUGUUUGGGAAAGGAAAAUACGGGAUACCCACAUCCACCAUUUGCAAGUCAGCAGCUUUGGCACUGCUUUUUCUUGCUUGCAUCAUUACAAGAGAAAGAAAGAGUUUCUAGUAAGUCAAUUGAAAUGGAGGAAUCUUUACUUUGCUGAAGAGCGUAAGUAUUAAUCAAAUUUGUUGUGACAUGCAUUAUCACAAUAAUUAAAUGUAAGAGAAAUUUUACAACUAUGCACCAUUUUACUGUCUUCUCGUCUCUAUCUUGACACUCUCCGUUCCCAAAUAAGACGGUAUUUUUCCAUUUUGCCUUUCAUAGUAGCCGCAGCUGCAACUUGGGGAACUGAAAUCUUGGUGGUGAUAUUAAGUUAGGUUGACAAUUUUGUUCCAACAGAAUUUGAUUUAAUGCUACUACUUAAGAGACUAAUCAACUUCAAGAGCAAGAUUGAAAAUUCAAGGAAAUGAAGUAGAUUAAGGUGAGUUGCAAGUUCGGCUUAUAAGGGUGGCGAUUCCUUGAUUUGCAUCACUUCUUUGUUCUUCUCAAGGUUUUAUUUCUUCUCUACUUUAUCCCAGUGCAAAUUGGUACCAGAGCAUUGGUUUCAUGGCUAGUCAUUGUCAUCACAAUUAGAAUCACAAGUGUUCUUAAUGACCAUAUUAAGUUUUCUUUUCUUAAAAGUUAAGUUCUCUUUUCUUAAAUAGUUUUCAUUUAUUUUCCCAUAUGUAUAAAUUUUUUGUAAAGGUAAUUUAGAUUCAUUUUAGAAUUCAUAAUACUUAUGAAGUUUGUGUUCCAAUUGUUAUUAUUAUUAUUAUUAUUAUUAUUAUUAUUAUUAUUAUUAUUAUUAAUUAAUUAAUUAAUUAAUUAAAUUUUAAAAGUAUUUAACUAAUGGCUCAUUGAUGAGAAGAACUCUAAUGCACCUAUAAAUUGAAAAGCUGUUGGUCCCUCUCUCUACUCUUAUAUAUAUAUAUAUAUAUAUUCAAAAGUAUUUCCUUAUUUCUCACUAUGGAGUGUAUAAAGGGGGAGCAAGAGAGUGAAGAUCAAGAGUGAAAGAGUUCAAGAUGAUUACUUCAAGAACUUUAAGUUAUAUGAAAUUAGGAAUAUAAAUCAAGGUGUACUUUCUUCUUCACAUCCUAUAAGGCUUUUUUUUUUUUUUUAAUUUAAGUUUGAUAUUAAAUAUCAAGUGAAAUACUUUUUAACAUUUGGUAUUAGAGUGAGGUUAAUCAUUUGUGUGUUUAAUUUUUUAUUUGGAUAUAGAUGAAGAAACACUAUAACCUAAAGUUAUCUCUUGAUGUGAAGUAUAAUAACUAGACAUUUUGAACAAAUUAUUUUAUUUUUCAUAGCACAAAGCUAUGAUAACAUUUACACUUCUAUAACUAGAAGUUGUGAAUAAAAGAAUGUGCACAUAUCAUAGACCAAGUUAUGAAUAAAUUAACCUAAAUUACAUAACAUAAAGUUAUGAAUGAAAGAAUUUGUUAAUAUCAUGAUGGUUGGAUAUGCAAAAGCGUUGAUACCAAUUUGUUGGAGUAAUAAGGUUGAUCGAGAGAAACAUGAACAAUUACAAAAGAAGAUUAGUUAUAGUUUGCAUUAGACUCUCCAAAUAUGCAAGUAACAUUUAUAGAAUAUGUCGAUCUUCGUGCAAUGAUUCCUGGUGAAGAAAUUAGAGAAAAACAAAAAAACACACAAAUUUAAUGUGGUUUGGUGGAUUGUCUAUGUCCACGGGAAUAAGAAAGAAGACUUUCACUAUAUAUCAAAUUAGAGUUAUAUAAAAAGGGCAUCUAUACUAACCCUCAGAUAAUGAAAUUCCAAAAAUAUCCCUAUACCCCCUAACAUAUUAUUCGCCCUUAAAAAUAAAAAUACAAGUUUAAAUAGCAAAUAUUGUCAUUUCAUUCCAUUCCACUCCACUCCAGCAUUUGCCCAUUUUUCUCCAUAUAUAUAUAUAUAUUUCCCUCAAUAUGAGCCACAUACUACAACAAAAUAACUAUCUUGGGGUUGUAAGUCAUGAGUUUGAGAUUAUGAACCAUUAGAUUUUGAAGAAGCCAUGCAAAACUAAAAACGAAAUAAUAUUCAAGUAAAAUCUCUUUCAAAAGGGAAAGACAUUUGAAGUAAAAUGGAUAUACAAAAUAAAGAAGCAUACAAAAAGAGAAGUAGAGAAAUACAAAACCUCUCAAAUAUGAAGAUUUUAGAAGAUUAAAAAACAUUAUUUGAAGUUACAAAUUAAGUUUAAGGGAUUAUACAUGUUAAAAAAUAAACUUGAGAGGAGAAAAGUUUCGAAUUAAGAAAUGUAAUUUGAUUUAGUUUCUAAAAGUCAAUUGAAAUAUUUUAGUUUGAGUAAUUCAGUCAUAUUUUAUUAUUAGGAGUUUUUAUUUUGUUAAAUACAAGUAUAUAUAAAAAGGUUGUAUAAUAUUUGAACAAAGUCCCAUUGGAGGAUAUAUCAGAGGUGUUCAACAUCAGUGUUUUGGUUUGAAAUAGGUUCUCUGUUAAGUGUCAUUGUUGAAUGGUGGUUGUACUAGGAUCCAUGUGUUGAAUAGAUGUUGUAGAGUUGAUCCAUUAUUGAAUGGGAAUGUUGACUCCACUUUUGAUGAAUGUGGGGACAAUAAAGCGAUGUUCUCUCCAAAGUAUGAAUGUUAAGCUACUUAUUAGCUUAGCUUUUAAUGUUGUAUAUCAAAUCCAUUAAUAGUUUGUUUGAUAAUGCUUUUUUAAAAUAUAAAAAAAAAAUGAAAAAAAAGAAAACGAAAAUCAAACAUUUAACUAAAUUUUAAAAAUCACUUAUUAUUAUUAUUUUAUUUUUAAAGAAACAUUUUACAAAUGAUUCUCUCAUAAAAAAAAUAUUUAUAUUAAAAGUUUGUUUGAUAGUGAUUUUAAAAAUUAUUUUUAACAUCUUUAAUACUUAAUAGAUAAAAAAUUUCUAAGUGUUAAAAAAAUUAGAAACAUUUCCUAAAGUUACUAUCAAACACAUUAUAAGAGUGCAUUUAAGAAUAAUUUUAAAAAACGAUUUUAGUACUUCUAAUGAUAAAAAAUUUUAAAAAUGUUUCUUAAAAUUACUAUCAAACGGAUUCUAAAAACACUUAUAAAAAACACUAAUAUAUUUGAGUACUAUUUAAAACUCCAUUUCAUGUGCUGCUCCAUUUCUUGAGUUCAAUAAAUAGAAAACAAGGAGGUUUGAGAUAUAAACACUGAAAUAAAAAACUCUAAUACCAUAGUGUGGACCCCGCAUUUUCGGCUCAUGCGUUCCCACUCAAUGGCGAAACUCGUUUUUUGUUUUAUUUGAUGAAAUUUGAUUUUUAGAAAAAAAAAAAAAACUUGGAGUCGCCACUUAUUUUUGUUUUACUUUUAAAGGGUAAACAAAAUAUGAAAGAAAAACCCUAAGUGUGACUCUUUAUUUCGGAAAAGAUGGUCUACGAAAAACCAGAUCGGGUUCGGGGGUCAAGUUACUUAUUGGGAAGGUAUGGUAAAGACCGUAGCACCCUUCUAAGUCCCUAGAAACGGGUCCCUACUAAUAAAAUGGAGCUAAUGUGGCAAUUGAUAAGGAAAACAAUGAAUACCCGGAACUAUCAUACACAUAUGAGAAUCAAAACAUGUAUAUAGAAAGACCAGAAUGGGAAUAGAUACGUACCUGGGCGACGAGCCACAAUAAGCUUAUCAAAAAGUGAGGUUAAUGCACAAUUAAGAAAUAAUUUCGAGCAUGUCAUAGAGUAGAAUAACAUCAAUCAUGCAUGUCAAUUAAAUCAAUCAAACAAUCAAUCAAUUAUAAAUUCACUUAUGUUGGGCCCCCACCAAAACAUUUUAUUUUACAUGAAUUAAUCCCAUAAAUUUCAUUAUUCGGAAUUACGGAAAAUUCGUUCAUGCUUAUUAAAAUCAAGAGGAGCAGAAGAUUGUUGGAAGACCAGAAUGGAAUUAAAGUUAUUCGAGAUAAAAUCGGAUUUUUGAAAUUCAUUUGAAAAAUUGGAGUCUCGAAGGUUAUUUAAAGAAAAUUGGGAUUUUAGAGUUUAUUUGAAGAACGGACUUUUAGGAAUUAAAUGUGAGAAUGUGAAUUUUUAGAAAUUAAAUUUGAACGAGGUUAGAAACUUGAAAAUGAUUUGAGAGUUCAGGAUUUUAAAUGAGGGGAUAAGUGGAUGAGUGAAUAAGUAAAUGAAUGAAAUAACGAUGGUGAAAUAAUAAAGUUUAGGUAAAUAAUCACGAAAGAUGGAAUUUUAGAGAUUUGAAGAUGUGAAUUUAGAGAUUGAAAACUUAAGAAUUUAUUUAGAGAUGAGAUCUUUGGUAUAUGAAUAACUGAAUAAGUAAGUGGAUGAGAUAACAUUAAUAACGAGAAUAAUCAUUAAACAAUGAUAUAUGGACGGUGGAGUUUUUGAGAUUGGAAAUUAGAUUUGGAAGUCGGAUUCUGAUGAAUUAAACUUUAACGAUUAGAAUAAAUAGAUAAUAUGGAAUAAUAAUGCUACUUAACGGAAACAAUAUUUUAAACGAAUAGAAAAGGAGUAGUGGAAUUUUAAGAUUGAAAAUUAAGUUAGGACGUUGAAUUUUUUAAGAGUUGGACCUUAAAUGAAUAAAAAGAUAAGGGAUAAGAAUUCUAGUUAAUGAAAAUAACAUUUGGGCGAAUAAUAGAAUUUCUAAGGUUGAAAGUUAAAUUGAGAUUUUUUAAAGAUUGGACUUUAAAUAAAUAUGGGAUGAUGAUUCUAAUGGAUGAAAAUGAAAUUUAAAUGAAUUAUAGAAUUUUUGUUAGGAUUGAAAAAUUAAAUUAAAAUAUAGAAUUUUUGAAGGAUUAGACUUUAAAUAACUAGAUAAAUACGAUAUUAAAAUUCUAAUUGAUGAAAAUAAGAUUUAAAUGAAUAUUUGAAGAAUUAAAUUAAGACAUGGGACUUUUGAAAAAUUACUUAAAGACCUAAGUUUUGAAAAUGGGAUUUAAAGUUUAGAAUGUAGUAAAUUCUUUGAGUCCAAUAUAAAUUAAUUUAUAUAAAAGUUUUUCAUAUAUGGUGAUUUAGACAUAAUUUAAAGAUGGGAAUGUGAAAUAUAAAUUAUCUUGUGUUUUGAAAGGAUAUCCAACCUUAAUAAUUUGUCCUUUAAUCGUCUUCAAGUUGAGUUAAAUAAAUUGGUAUAAAUAGAAUAAGAUAACAAAUAAAAGGGAAUGAUUGAAUUAAUUAAUCAUGGAUAUUAGAGAUUUUUAAGAGAAUUAUUUAGGAUUUGGGCAACCUAAUGGGCUAAAUUGAUGUGGGCAUGGGCCAAUGAGGGUGGCUAGCAUAGGGGACAUGGGGCCCUUCAUCAACAUGCUUGGGUUGGGCUCCAACUCAAGCCCAAACUCGUCACCAAGAGCUUAGGUCUGGGCUCCAACUUAAGCCCAAGGCACCAUCACUAUAAAAGCAUGGGCCUGGGCUCCAACUUAAGCCCAAGGCACCAUCACCAUCAAAGCUUGGGCCUGGGCUCCAACUUAAGCCCAAGUUCAAGGCCAAUAUGGGCAAGCCCAAAACGUAUUUCUAUCACAAACCUGGGCUUGGGCUCAAACCUCCACCUAUGGGCAAGCCUAAAAGGCUCCAAACUCCCUCACAGCCCACCACUCCAACCGGAUCCUUCCUUCAACCCCACUCCCUGGAGACCCUCUUAUGUUGAUGGCUGCAAAAUACUAAGUCACGGAUUUCGUUGCGAAGCUGCAACAAUUCAAACUUACAUUUUAAAAAAUUUUAAUGAUAACAAUUUUAAGUAUUAAAAAUAUUAUAAGCACUUCUUAAAAUCAUUAUCAAAUGGAAUCUAAGAGUUUGUUUGACAAUGAUUAUAGAAAAUGUUUUUAAUAUCUUCAAUACUAAAAAUAUAAAAAAUUUCAAAUGUUAGAAAAAUUAGAAACACUUCCUAAAAUCAUUAUCAAAAGCUUUAUAAAAAUGCAUUUGAGAAUAAUUUUAAAGAACGUUUUUAGUACUUUUAACACUUGAACGAAAAAAAAUUUUAGGUAUUAAAAAUAUUAAAAAUAUUUCUUAAAAUUACUAUCAACCGGGCUUUAAAAACACUUAUUUAUUUGAUUGCUAUUUAAAACUCCAUUUCAUGUGCUACUUUACCUCAUGAUCAUAGAGAUGCCUUACCUCAUGCCGUGCCCAGAAUACAAAAUUCCGCUUAUGUCUUACAUUUUGUGGUAGAAAAUCGCAUUAACAUCACACCACAUCAGUCCUGUUUCCACUACUGGAACAGAAUUUUCAGGUAGCCUCUAAAUACUAAUUUUUUCAAAGAUGAGCUAGGUUCAUGUUCCAGGUCAGUUUCUGUGUUGUCAAUGGACAGAGGACGUAACGUACAAUAUUAUCUGUAGGCCAUGGCUGCUUCCUCCAAGAAAAUUAUGUUAUGUCAUAAGUCACGGAUUUCGUUGCGAAGCUACAAUAAUUCAAACUUACCUUCCUUUAAGAUCAUGCUUGUGUCUACAUUCAUUUUCCCAAAUAUUUGUAGUUGAAUUUUUUGUCAUGUAGGGGCCGCGCACUUAAGGCAGAUCUCAAGUGAGUCAAAGAAUUAACAAAUUAAGGUGACAUUUGAUAAAUUAAACUAAAAACUUAAUAUUUAAUUGUUUAAGAUGAUUUUAAUAUGACUUUUACUAAACUUGAUGAGUUGAAAAUUAUUAUUAAAUUAUUAAGUUAAAUAUUAAAAAAGUUUUUAAUUUUUCUUUUAAUUAUUGCUUAUUUUUAAAAGAUUUUUACUAAAUAAAAAAGUUAAAAUAUUUGAUUUUGUUUUACUAAAUAUUAAAAAUAAUUUUUAAAACAGUCAAAACAUAUUCCCAAUAUGACUAUCGUUGUAUUAAUACUUAAUACUUAAUAAUAAAAAAAUAAUAAAAAAAAAACAAAGAAUUUAAUACUCAAUACUAUUAAUUGUAUUUAAAUUAACUUCUUUUUAUAUAUAAGUAAAAAAUCCAAAGUAACAUUAGAAAGUAAAACCAAAACUCAAGUGAUUUUCUAAAGUUCCAAAAGUAAUUUUUAAAAAUUUACCAAAUAAUUUUACUUUGUCUGAACACAUUUAUAAUGCAGUAGAACAGUUCUGUUGGCCAUUGAGAAAAAGAAGGGAAAAACUAUGGUAGGGUAGCCAUCAAUGGAGUGGCCGAUAUGAAGGAGGUGAUAAAUCAAUCCAAGCGUCCAUUAACACCUCCACAAACCGCAUACACCAUCUGCCCAACAAGGCAACUUUAAGCUAUCCUCCCCCAUUAGAUGGCCAAACCAAUUCCUUCACCUCUCUAUGAAAAAAUCCCCCAGAAAAACACACUCCAUAGAGCCUCGGACGUCACCAUUUUCUUCCUUCUCCUCUCCCUCCUUGCUUACCGUCUCCUCUCCCUAAAAAACAAUGGCUUCACUUGGCUCCUCGCCUUCCUCUGCGAGUCAUGGUUCACCUUUAUUUGGAUUCUUAACUUGAGCUCCAAAUGGAAUCCUGUGUCCUACAAAACAUACCCUGAGCGCCUUCUACAAUGUUAUCGGUAUCCAAUAAUUCUCUUAGUAAAACUCUUCAUGUGCUUUGGUGUUUUUUUCUGCCUCCAAAUUUUAUAUAUAGUCAUACUUAUGAUUUUCUGAACAGAGUUGAUGAGCUUCCUCCAGUGGACAUGUUUGUGACAACUGCAGAUCCCAUGCUGGAACCCCCGAUCAUCACUGUAAAUACUGUUCUCUCCUUGCUGGCAGUUGACUAUCCGGCUAACAAGCUUUCUUGCUAUGUGUCCGAUGAUGGGGCUUCCCCUCUCACCUUCUUCGCUCUCCUUGAAGCAUCCAAGUUUGCUAAGCUUUGGGUUCCUUUCUGUAAGAAGUAUGGUAUUCAACCUAGAGCUCCCUUUAGAUACUUUUCCAGAGAGUUGUUACCAUCCCAUGAUAAUUCAAUGGAGUUCCUGCAAGAA